Molecule: long non-coding RNA, 44937 nt
Filed under: Triticum aestivum (bread wheat)
Lineage: Eukaryota; Viridiplantae; Streptophyta; Magnoliopsida; Poales; Poaceae
Description: long non-coding RNA (TAES_LNC009594)
Source: RNAcentral
CAUUUCUUGCUUUGUAGAUACAAUAGAGUAGACAUCAAGCAUAAAUCAUGAUACAUGACUAGGGCUUUCAGAGGUAAUAACAAGGUGAAGAAAAUCAUGCAAAAGAUAUAUCAUGAUAAUCAAGCAUAAUAAUAAUAGGUCUUAAACUCUAGAAAGGAUCGAAACCAGGUAGGUAGCUCUAGAUAUUAAAAACAUGUGCUCAUAACUUUCCAGGUUGUGACAUGUCAUCCAUCACAACUAAGGAGAAACUUUGGGGUGCAUUUAUUCUCAACUCAUCUACGAUGGAGCUCUAGUUUAUUGGUAGUGGAGAUAGCUAGUGUGCAUCCAUAUCCUUGAUCUUCAGCCUGAGCAUGGCAUUUCUGUUCCAAACAAAAUAAGAAAACACAAAGGAUCAGGGAUGAAGACGAUUAAGAACAAGUGGAACAAGACAAAUUGAUAAGGCAAGUAAUUGUGCAACAACAUUCAAAUGUAAUGUGUCACUCAAAAUGCAGAAUGAUAUAAUUGACCAAGCAAUGAUGACUAGAUGUUUCCAUACCCCAAACGUGGUGUAUUUUUCCUUCUACAACAUGAAAAGUAAAGAAACAAUAGUCAAUGAGGGUAAAAGUCACCAAUGGGGAGUUUUUAGAUAGGAUUAUACACUUGACAUGUAGGGCGAAAAUAUCAUUGUGGUAUAUCGAAAUUGAAAAACAUUCAACAACACAAGUGUGCCGGUGUAAGCUAUGUUAUCCAGAAUUGAUAGGUCUGUGAAUAAUGGCAUGCUUAAAUAGACAUACAUGGAAAUUUUAUUCCAUGACACUACCGUAUCCUUUCUCGCAAAAAGAACAACUACAGUAUUCUAAAAAACUGCAAGUAUCUACAUCCAGAGUAACAUGAGUGAGGUUCACCAUUCGAGCUUAGCCUACUGGUGAUAAGAAUUCAUAUAAUGUGAUAUCAAUAUAUGAGAAAUGAAGAAGCUGCAAUACAUGAAAUUCCAUUAUUCAACUGCUAAUCCCUCCCUCUGAUUUCCCGUAUAUAUAACCCAAGACAACAACAACAGUCAUGACCACGUAGACAAAAGAGCAAUUGUAGCGUUUAUAAAUCAUGCUACAGGUAGAGAAAACAUCUCAAUUGUUGCUUACUAGUCUUCCUAAAAUGGCCCGAGGAAUCAAUUAUGUACCUACCACCAUUCCAUGAAUGUACUACACCAUGAUUGUUGAUGAACCAUUAACUAAAAUAAUAGAGGACUAAUAGUUUGGCAAUGCCAUUCAUUCUGCAACUACACCAGAUAUGUUGGUGUAUUGAUCUAAGCUACAGAUUUUAGCUUUAUUGCACACAACAAGACAAAGCAAUGAAAUAGAAAAUAGAUUGAUAGAGUGUACAAUUCAAAAAACAUUAUAACCUCAACAAGACAAUAGAUUAUAUGAAGGCCAAAAAACAAUCCUUGUAGGAUCAUCCUUGAGUGCAGGAAAUACGGGAGGCCAGAUCAUCAUAAGAGGAUGGAUUUCAUAGAAAAAUUUAUCACCGUCUUCCUUCUCAUACACCUUAUGCAUUGUUCUGCGCUCGAUGUCCAAGAGGAAUGUGCAUCGACCCAUGUCCAAGAACACAAACUCAGCAUUGUCUCCUGCCUGGUUUAUUAGGAGAGAAGCAUUGCCAUCUGACACACUCAAAUCAGCAAACAUCUCGCGCAAUAAAAUGGUGUCCGUCAGCAACCAUGUGUACCCAUCGUGGAGCCAGAUGCGUAGUUGAAACUUCUUGACAUGGAUAAGAUAUACACCAACAACAUCAUCGGCCUGUGACAAUAUGGUGUUUCUCUCACCAUAUUCCAUCCCUUCUGGGAGCUCAAUUAUGGAGAAACUUGAGGCCGCCAUAUCCAAGACAAUAAUGUUGCUCCAGCCAGCUGGCACAUAGAUUUUAUUGUUGGACAACACAGAUUUAAGUACUGACCAUGGACGAGGGGGCUCCUGUAUGAUCAAGCUAUGAUUCAUGCGCCAUAUGCCAUGUUUCAAGAUAUAUAUGUAUACCCUAUGUUUUCCAUUCGUUGUUUGGUGCAUCAACACAUACAAGUAAGACAAGGCAUCGCCCUCUUCUUUGGACAUGAUUCUAGAGUAAGCAGUACCGUCAAAUAAGUACGGAGAUUGGGGGCGUGGAAACGGUGGGAGGAUGUCCAUGCCUCUCUCAGGACACACCACUUGGUGCACUGCAAACGUGGUUCCAAUUUCAUCAUGCUGCCUAAUGAGUAUGUUGCCAUUCUGACAACCAAGGAUGUAGGUUGGUACCGACGGUACUCUCUGAUAGGUGCCCAUGCUAGAGGUUGCGCGACGGAUGACAGCAGUGAGUUCACGGGGCUGAGGCAAUAUUGGGAUGAAGUGCGGGGUGCUCUGACCUUUGUUGAUGUAGAAGCCAAGAAGGCGGGGCGGGUGGAUCUCACGAAAUUGACGGAGGAAGGCACGGUUGGAGGCAUGGGCGAGCCAGCGUGUGCAUACGAGGGCGGAGUUGAGAAGGGUGGUGGUGAAGACGGUGCGGAGGAGGAUCUCACUUAGGAGGUCAUCGUCCUCGAGCACCUUGGAUAUCGCCGCCAUUGAUGUUGGGGAACGCCGGUCAAACUGGGGUUAGGGGAGAAGAAUUGCAGGUCGAUGCCGGGGACGGGUGAGGUGAAGUCGCCGACGAAAUUGUGACACUCAUCCUUUAAUUGCUUACGUUUCAGGCAAGUGAAGAAACGGCUUCUGGCACCUACAGCAAAAAUAAAUGACCAGCCAGCCUGGCCAAUUAAACCAAAAAGGUAACUGUCGUAGUGUGCAAUAACUGUGGUCCACCUGCUUUUAUGUUCCGUUUUAUUGCGCUGGCGUGUGUUGCUUGCCUUUGUGAUCCCCACACCGGUCCACUACGAAUAGGGAGGGGCAUGGCCGUCACUUUGCACAAAGCAGCUAUUGAGCGAUCCUGCCGAAAGGUUUUGUACGGAUUUUACUGAUUUAUGUAUAAACAUUUUAGAAGGUUAUGGUAUGUUUUCGCUAUUUUUAAUGGUUUUUUGUUUUCUAAAAAAAUGUCCAUAAACAUUCUGAAUCUCAAAAUUUUACUCUGAAUUUUUAAAAGUUCAUCCUUAUAAAAAAUAUACUCCCUGCGUCCCAAAAUAAGUGACUCAACUUUGCACUAAAGUUAGUACAAAAUUUAGUCACUUAGUUUGGGACAGAGGGAACAUUUUUUGAUUUGUUUGUAAGAAAUGUUUGGAAUUUCAAAAUAUAUUCGUGUUUUAAAAAAAUCCCAAAAAUGUUCACCUUUCAAAAAAUGCUCGCGUCUUCCAAAAAAAUUGUAAACAUUUCAAAAAGGUUCAAAAUUUUCAAAUAAAGAUAAAAAUCUAAAAAUAUGUUCACACUUUUGUAAUUUUUUUGUGAUUUUCAGUAGGCUAAAUGAAAACAAAAUAAGCACUCCUGCCGAUCGAUAUUAAUUGUCGCCGACUUAAUAAAUCCACAGCAGUUAAUAUGGAUUAGAGGGGGUUCUAAAAAAGUGUGGUGCUAUAGUGUCUACUUCUUCACAUUUUUACUUGUCUCUCCCCGACACAUAGGCAAAAGUGCCAUGCAAGCGGGCUUAUAGCCCACUAGUAUAUUUGCUCUUAUAUUGUUAACUGCUAAUCUAAGACCGGUUUAAAGCGUGUUCUAGUCUAUCUGGAUUGAGCGAGGGUGGUGACGUGUCAUGCACUCAUAUCAUCAUCCUUCACUCAUAACUAGAUAGCUUCUUCUGCUUGUUUUGACUUUACACUUAUCUUGACAUGAAUAAUCUACAUAGUACUGUCAACUCUGACUAUUCGAAAGUUGCCACUUAGAAACAGUACAUACGGCAAAAUUACACCGCAAAAUAAUGGUUAAUUCAAUAUACAAGCCACGUCCGCAAUGGCAUUUAUCAAAGUAUCAAUGCUGGCAAUGCAAUGGUUAAAAGUUUCUCCAAGUGAUUUUUUGCGUGGUCUGAUCAAAAUUUCAAUCAACGAGUCGAUCUUGUAUGGUUUGUGUGGUAGGGUCAAUUUUCUCAAGGAAAAUGGAUAAGGUUGAACAGUGCUAAAUACACAGUUGUUUUCUCACCAAUAAUUCGACCGAUCAGAUCAUGGGCACCGCCGUCAGUUGCAAGAAUAAAUGAUGCAAAAUCGAAAACACAAUUUCUUGUCUCACAACGAGCAACUGAGUUAAUUGUAAGAAACCACUACAUUGAAGGCUAGAUCAGCAGAAAACGUGAAUUUACAUUUUUUUUUUAAAAACAGCAUGUCUAAAGUAAUUGUUUGGCAAAUAACACUGAUUCGCGGUGGAUUAGACUUAUUUGAGCGUGUUUAUGGCAGGCUGGUCCCGCAUCUCGCUUACAUGGCAUAACAGUUCACGGAGACGGGGGUUGGUCUAAAUUUACCAAAUAGUCCCAAAUUUUUUACAUAGGCACCCUUUACACAAAAACUAAAGCGAUCAGCCCGUGCAUAGAACUGUAGCACUGUGCCAUGUGCUGCCGGUAUCCCGCCUGUCGCCGCCGCUAGGUGGUCGCAGCCGGUCGUUGCGCUGCCGCCGCGCCUGACGGCAUGGAGCCCAUGGCGACGAACCGCACGCCGCCGGGAGCAGCUGCCCGUGCAUGGCCCUGCAGGACACCCUCCGCCACCACCGACACCGAGGCGGUCAACGCCGGCAGUCUUUCAAGUAGGCGAGCGCCGUAUAUGGGUAUGUCUAGCCGGUGGCUAGAAUAGAUUCAACAACUAGCUCCUGUGCUUGUACGUCCGCAUCCAACCGGGAGGAAUCAAUCAACCCACACCUAGAUCCGCAGUAGACGCCUUUUGAGAUUGUUUUCUCCAUGUGUUCUUUCCUAUUGUACUGGACAGGGCUGCAGGAGGAGGAGGGCGCCAAGGAGCUGCGAAGCGGUGCUGAGAUGAUCAGGUCGAGCACGAUGCGCAUGAUGGAAAUGUGCAAUGCGGUGAGAGUGUCGAUCGGGGGAGAUUGAAGGUCUGCAAAAAUCUUGUUGGCUAGAGCUGGGCAAUCCUACGAUCCUGUGACGGCAUUUUGGUUCUUUUGUGGAUGUCUCAUGUCUUUGUGUGUAGUAAAAACUUAAGGGUGUUUGCUAUGGAUAUUCGGUGCUGUCUAGGUUUUCGCCCCAUGGCAUUCGUUUCGAUGGCGAGCGAAUGCAGUGGGUUUCCUGGCAGUGCCCAGACUCGCUUUACCUCUUUCCCUUCUCCUGUCAUGUUUCUGAACUUUGUAUUUUCGUUCAUUUGCAAUGGAAAAGGGUAUAGCCCGGUUCGAAAAAAAAGAUCCGCAGUAGACAAAGUACUUCUUGCAACAUCGAGCACUAUGCAUGCGUGCUAGUUGUUGCUGCUGCUUGCGGGAGAUGCGGCGGCCACCUCGUUCGCGAGGCGGAUGAGGCGCCAUCGGGUUCUUGGUAGGCAGUGGCGGCGCCAGAAAAUGAAGGCUGCGUAUUCAUUCAAAUUUUUUUUUGCUCUAAAUAUAGUAUAUGAACCAAACAACAGACCACUAGCAAUAUAGAUGAACAAAACAACAUUAGCAUACUAGAUGGAUGCAAAAUGUCCAGAGCGGAGCCGUGGAGGUGAGCCGGGAGGGGCUGGGCGCCUACUUGGGCCGGGGAGCCGCCAACCAGGAGGUCGGAGGCUGACCGGCGCCUGACGAAGCCGCAUCGCCGCAGAGGUCGGCGCAUAGCGGCAGAGGGUCGGAGGGCGUCUGGGCAAGGGCGGGCCAGCAUGGGAGGGAGAGGGAGAGGGCGGCCGGAGGGGAGGGGACUGAGGGGUGAGGCGAGGGAGGAAGGAGAGGGCCGACCUGGCCGCCGGAGCCAGACCUGAUUCCAGGGGAGGCUGAAUCGGGGGAGCUAGGUUUGGGAAAAGGGGAUCGAUUGAAACUGGGGCUUGGCCGCUCGGGGCAGUACUGAAUCGAGGAAGGGAGACGAGCCACUCGUGCGCCUAGCCACUUAGCCAGACGCUGACUGGGUCGUGUCUGCUCCCAUGCGUAGCUUUUUUGCCGUGGCCCUAUCCCUUCUACCGUAUAUGUACUAUUUUUUUUACGCGAAAUACUUGGGUAUUCCAGGGAAGUCCCAGGAAGACCCCAGCGUCGCCACUGUUGGUGGGGAGACCGGGCAGAGAGCGGCGUGGCGGUGGAGACCACCAUACACUGCAUUGCGAGCAUGCUAGGAGGUUUUGAGGCGCCGGCCGCGGAUCCGGCAUGGGGCAUGGCGUUAGAAGGGCGGGGGCUAUCUGUUCUGCAGCGGGGGAAGGUUUGGGAACGGUCGGCGGCCCAGGGAGAAAGUUUGGCACAUUUUUGCAAAAGACCCGCCGUCUCUUGUGAACUGUUACGCCACCUAUGCAAAAAAUGGGGCCCGUCUGUCAUAAACACGCUCAUAUGAGACUAAUCCACCUAUCAUAUUGGUUCCUACAUAUUUCACGCAGGUCAUCUAUCGUUUGAACCAUGAUGUCAAGGAUUCAGUUAAUCCCGUAUGCAAUUCUCUUUGUUCGGGAAUAUGUUACUUGUCUGAGAUUCGAUCGUCGGUAUCUCCAUACUGUUGGGGAACAUAGCAGAAAUUCAAAAUUUUCCUACAUGUCACCAAGAUCUAUCUAUGGAGAAACCAGCAACGAGGGGAAGGAGAGUGCAUCUACAUACCCUUGUAGGUCGCUAAGCGGAAGCGUUCAAGAGAACGGGGUUGAAGGAGUCGUACUCGUCGUGAUUCAAAUCACCGGAGAUCCUAGUGCCGAACGGACGACACCUCCGCGUUCAACACACGUACAGCCCGGUGACGUCUCCCACGCCUUGAUCCAGCAAGGAGAGAGGGAGAGGUUGAGGAAGACUCCAUCCAACAGCAGCACAACGGCGUGGUGGUGAUGGAUGAGCGUGGCAAUCCAGCAGGGCUUCGCCAAGCACCACGGGAGAGGAGGAGGAGGAGAGGCGGGGCUACACCAAGAGAGGGAGAAGUUCUCAUGUGUUGGCAGCCCCAAAACCUCAAGUAUAUAUAGGGGGAAGGGGGGCUGCGCCCCCUUUAGGGUUUCCCACCCCAAGGGGUGCGGCCAAGGGGGGAGGAGUGCCUUCCAAGUCAAGUGGAGGUCCUCCCCCUUAGGGUUUCCCCCUUCCCAUGCGCAUGGGCCUUGGGGGGGCUGGUGCCCUUGGCCCAUUAAGGCUAGGACGCCCCCCUACAGCCCAUGCUACUGUAUUGGACGUGGUGGAACAAUUUCCGGACCUCCGGACCCCUCCGGAAUCCUCCGGAACCUUUUGGAAGCUUCCCGGUACAAUACCGAAAAAACCCGAACAUUUCCCGGAACCCGAACAACAACUUUCCAUAUAUAAAUCUUUACCUCCGGACCAUUCCGGAACUCCUCGUGACGUCCGGGAUCUCAUCCGGGACUCCGAACAAUAUUCGGUAACCACAUACAAACUUCCUUUAUAACCCUAGCGUCAUCGAACCUUAAGUGUGUAGACCCUACGGGUUAGGGAGACAUGUAGUCAUGACCGAUACGUUCUCCGGUCAAUAACCAACAGCGGGAUCUGGAUACCCAUGUUGGCUCCCACAUGUUCCACGAUGAUCUCAUCGGAUGAACCACGAUGUCAAGGACUUAAUCAAUCCCGUAUACAAUUCCCUUUGUCUAGCGGUAUUUUACUUGCCCGAGAUUCGAUCGUCGGUAUACCGAUACCUUGUUCAAUCUCGUUACCGGCAAGUCUCUUUACUCGUUCCGUAACACAUCAUCCCGUGAUCAACCCCUUGGUCACAUUGUGCACAUUAUGAUGAUGUCCUACUGAGUGGGCCCAGAGAUACCUCUCCGUUUACACGGAGUGACAAAUCCCAGUCUCGAUCCGCAUAAAACAAUAGAUACUUUCGGAGAUACCUGUAGUGCACCUUUAUAGUCACCCAGUUACGUUGUGACAUUUGAUACACCCAAAGCACUCCUACGGUAUCCAGGAGUUACACGCUCUCAUGGUCAAAGGAAGAGAUACUUGACAUUGGCAAAGCUCUAGCAAACGAACUACACGAUCUUUGUGCUAUGCUUAGGAUUGGGUCUUGUCCAUCACAUCAUUCUCCUAAUGAUGUGAUCCCGUUAUCAACGACAUCCAAUGUCCAUAGCCAGGAAACCAUGACUAUCUGUUGAUCACAACGAGCUAGUCAACUAGAGGCUCACUAGGGACAUAUUGUGGUCUAUGUAUUCACACGUGUAUUACGAUUUCCGGAUAAUACAGUUAUAGCAUGAAUAAAAGACUAUUAUCAUGAACAAAGAAAUAUAAUAAUAACACUUUUAUUAUUGCCUCUAGGGCAUAUUUCCAACACAUACCUCGUUCUAUCUCAUUAUCGACAAGUCUCUUUACUUGUUCUGUAAUACAAGAUCUCAUGACUAACUCAUUAGGGCAUCUCCAGCCAUUGACACCCCCAGGAGGCGUUUUUUUCGCCGCUUGGGGGGCUGCCGGCGAGAUUUUAAGCCUGGGGCUGAAAUUUCUUUCAGUCGUUUGGCCCCCCAGGCAGCAACGAGCCGUCGGAGCAGCGCCAAGCGCGGGAACUGCGCGAGAUGCGAUCACCGGCCGGCCGUUUCCGGCCACGGCUGGUCGCGGGGGUUUGUUCGCUGGAACGCCCGCAGUGCGGCACGUCCAGCAGUGGUCGUUGCAGCCGACAACGUGGGGUGUAGCGGCGGCAGCGACGGGCGGAGAGGCGGCCGUGUUGCGGGUAGCUAGCGACCCAACGGAGCAACGAGGCAGCGUUAGUAGAGCACCCGGAGCACGACGGACAGCUGUGCGUGGCGGGAUGAGCUCGGCAUCAAGCAGAGCAUCGGCCAUGGCGGACGGCAGCGCUCGGUGCUCGCGGGGACGACGGUUACGGCACGAAAUCAAGCGAGAGGGGUGGUUAGCGAGCUCGGGAAGGCGGCCAUGAGGAAGAGCACCGACGCCCAGUGCCCCCACCGCGGCCAGCGAUGCUAGGAGGAGCGGCCGACUCACCGGAACGUGCGCCCAAGCCGGACGGGGCGAGCAGGCAGGGAGCAAAGCGGGCGCGGAGGAAGCCGCGGGAGGCGGAGCCGGCGUGAGCCGACCAGCCGGCGUGCGGGAGGCUGGCCGGGCGAGGCGGCGAGCGGACGGGGCCGGACUCGGCGCCGCUGCUGGAGCCGGACAGGGCGAUGGUGAGGUACAACGCCGGCGCGCGCACCACGGUGUCCCGCGAGGUCUCGGACGAGCGGAGACGUGGCGUCCUCCCCGCGAGCUCCGUUGCGCGCCCCGUCCUUCCUCUUCCGCCAUGGCCGUCGGGGGCACGAAGACAUCGACGCCACCCUCCUUCUCGUCCGGCUCUUCCUCGUAUGCGGGUGCUUCUUGGGCGGGGGCAGGAACUCCCGUGGCCGCGCGCGCCCGUGGCCGCCCUGGCCUUGCCUGCUCCGGCCACGGCCCCGCCUCGCCAGCUCCGGCCAGCGCCCGCCCUGGCCGCGCACAGCGAGCUCCUGCCUCGCCCGCCCAUAGUACAUGGAGAGUAGAACCGGGGAGAGAGGGAGUGUGGGCGUGGAGAGGAGAGAGGGAGUGUGCUGCACGUGGGUGGGCCUGAAGAAGAGAAAGGGGGAGAGAGAGGCUGGCAAGUGGGGCAGCGCCUUCAAAAAGCUAAUGCCGGCGUCCCCAGCUGCCCCCCGGCGAGCUGGGUGCGGGGUGAGCGUGUCGGCGCUAACUUUUGCUAAAUCCGGCGCAAAACGAUGUUUUGGGGCCCUGACUGGGGCGUUUUUUACUCGCCGGCGUCCAAAAAAGCGCCUGGGGGGCUUCUUGGGGGCCUUAGUGGAGAUGCCCUUAGCCACAUUGCUUGCAAGUUCUUUACGAUGUUGUACUACCGAGAGGGCCCAAAAGAUAGCUCUCCUCACACGGAGUGACAAAUCCUAGUCUCGAUCCAUGCCAACCCAACAGGCAUCUUCGGAGAUACCUGUAGAGCAUCUUUAUAAUCAUCCAGUUAUGAAGUGACGUUUGAUAGCACACAAGGUAUUCCUCCGGUAUCCGGGAGUUGCAUGAUCUCAUGGUCUUAGGAAUAGAUAGUUGACAUGAAGAAAGCUAUAGCAAUAAACUCAAGUGAUACGAUCGAAUGUUAAGCUUACGGUUGAGUCUUGUUCAUCACAUCAUUCUUCUAAAGACAUGUACAGUGCUCUCUAGUCAGCUGCCUGCAAGGGAUGACACCUAGGAUUUUGGAUGAGGUGGAGGGAAACUCAGGAAGAGAGAGAAUAAGCCGGUCGAUAAAGAUACAGACGGUCUACAGCCCUGAGAAAUCGGCACCUAUCGACGGCCUAUUACCGUUGUACGAGAGGCCGUCUGCAAUCCAAUACCCCUUCGUACGAAUCCUCUCCCAAUCCUCUUGAUCCUUGAUGGAGACGAAGAUCGCGCGAUUAGCUGCUGCUAGUUGCCGAUGAGAAGCUCCUGAUCGUCGUUGUCGCCGGCGGCAUGGCAGCAUGUGCUCCUCGUGGGCAGAGGUUAUGCCAAGCGGCAACGGUGGUGCUUGACCGGCGCCACGACGCGAUGAUGAGAAUGUCAGAGUUCGCUACCAGGGUGGGCUGUGAAAUUUGGAUCCAUCUCUAUCCAAAUUGUCCUCUCUUGAUGCUGCAACACAGGGCUUCUUGCAGUCGCCGCAUGAACCGAACAUGGCAUCUGCGUAUGGUCGCACAAGUCUCUGUACGACACUUGUUUGCUGAUUUCUGCAAAUUAGAAUCGUUUUAUCUGAUUCAUUUUUGUCAGGGACUAGGAUUGGCGCGUACAUGGACAAAUUUUCCCAUUUUGAUAUUAUAGACACCUAAAAAGCUAACCUGUUGUAUAGGCUGUCUUUAUGCUUGUUUGCAGAUGACGUGGAGAGUUGUUAUAGACAGAUACCGUCUAAACUAUUCUACAUUCCUUAAUGAUGUGAUCCCGUUAUCAAAUGACAACUCAUGUCUAUAGUUAGGAAACCUUAACUAUUUUUAAUCAACAAGCUAGUCUACUAGAGACUCACUAGGGACAUAGUAUUUGUGUAUGUAUUCACACUUGUAUUUAAGUUUCCGGUCAAUACAAUUCUAACAUGAAUAAUAACCUUUAUCAUUAAUAAGAAAAUAUGAUGAUAACCAAUUUAUUAUUGCCUCUAGGGCAUAUUUCCAACAGGUAUCUUACCAGGAUCGACCUUGGAGAAUCGGCCAGACAAAUGCGCAAGCGGGCAUCAAAGCAAUGGACUAAUUUCCGCGGCCAAUUGCGCUGCAAAACGAGCUUUGCGUAAAGUUACGUACUAGCUGAUCUGGAUUAAUUGAAUUGGAUUAGAAAGAGGCUCAGGCCCACCCCCGAAAAUCAGGGGGGGGGGGGGUCAUUAGUUUUAUAGGACGGAAAAGAACGUAAGUUGACGUAGAAGGUUACAUAGGUCUAGUGUUUUCGCUGCAAAACCACCAACAAACAACAAUCCAUGAAUCAGCUCACUAGAGGACAUGUAAAAUCAGUGUGCAGGAAAUGAAACACAGGGAGAACAGAAAUUAUCUUGCCGUUUGGGAAGAGAAGAGCUCACAUCAACCAAUCAACGUGAGGCUGGAAGAGGAAGCGACUUUCGCCGUCGGGGACGAGCGAGGUCAGGCCGCCGGCGCCCCCUCCUUAAUUUCUUUCGGCGGGGAUGAACUGCGUUUUUUUUAGAGAAAGCUGAAGUAUUUGAGUGGAAGUUGGUGGCUGGUUUUGGGAAGCUUCUUGAAGCUUCCAGUCCUUUUUUCCUUGGCCUUUUUUGUUUGGUUUUUCUUAUUUUCCCCUUUUUUGUUUUUCAUAUUUCCAUUUUUUUCUCAAAAUGCAUGAAUUCCUUUCAAACUCAAGAACUUUUUUCAAAUUCGUGAAUGUUUUCCAAAUUUGUUUUUUAAAAUCGUGGGCAUUUUCCAAAUCCGUGAUUUUUCACAUUUGUGAAGUUUUCGCCUAAAAUUCAUGAACAUUUUGUAAUUUUUAUUUUUCCGUAAAUCCAUGAACUUUUUUCAAGUUCGUGGACCUUUUCCAAAUUCAUGAAUUUUUUUGUCCGUGAGCUUUUUCAGUUUUGUGAACUUUUUAAAAUCCACGGACUUUAAAAAUAUCCGUGAUUCUUUUCCCGAAUUCAUGAUUUUUUUUCUCAAAUCUAUAAACCUUUUAUUAAACUAUUUUUUAUGAAACCUUGUCAGAGGGCAGGGAGCUCCCACGUUGCAUACUGAAGAAGAGAGUUGGUCCAAUUAAUGAAGGUACCUGACCCAAAAAUAAUACAAAACUAACAAAAACCACGCACGCAACUGCUGAUUCAGCAUCAUCUUCAGACUUCGUAUGGAAUGCCAUGUUUCAUGGGAGAAGCAGAUAUUGAGAAAUUUGUAGGUGCUUCACAAUGUAUAUUGCCAGAAGAAAGCUAUGAGCUUCAGAUUAGGCACCGAGAGUAUAUAGCAGUUGUGGCUUGGAUCCUGAGUAGACAUGUGAAGGAUAGGGAGCAGGUUCCGAUGAAGGUUGAGAGUGAUGUACAACAAAUUGCAGCAGAUUCAUGGGCUCCAUUAUUGAGCAGGUUAACUCAAUCAGGUUUGCAGCCAUCUGCAUAGCACCUACCUAAAGUGGCGGCAUACAUAUGAUUUGGGGGAAACAAUAAUUUGGGGCAAACAACAGAGUUGAUGUUGUCAUCUUCUCUCUCUCUCUCUCUCUCUCUCUCUCUCCAGUCUUCCCCCAUUUCUUCUUUCCAGAUACAAUAGAGUAGACAGCAAGCAUAAAUCAUGAUACAAGACUAGGGCUAUCAAAGGUAAUAACAAGGUGAAGAAAAUCAUGCAAAAGAUAUAUCAUGAUAAUCAAGCAUAAUAAUAGGUAUUAAACUCCAGAAAGGAUCGAAACCAGGUAGGUAGCUCUAGAUAUUAAAAACAGGUGCUUAUUACUUUCCAGGUUGUCACAUGUCACCCAUCACAACUAAGGAGAAACUUUGGGGUGCAUUUAUUCUCAACUCAUCUACGAUGGAGCUCCAGUUUAUUGGUAGUGGAGAUAGCUAGUGUCCAUCCAUAUCCUUGAUCUUCAGCCUGAGCAUGGCAUUUCUGUUCCAAACGAAAUAGGAAAACACAAAGGAUCAGGGAUGAAGAUGAUUAAGCACAAGUGAAACAAGACAAAUUGGCAAGUAAUUUUGCAACAACAUUCAAAUGUUAUGAUCACUCAAAAUGCAUAAUCAUAUAAUUGACCAAGCAAUGAUGACUAGAUGCUUCCAUACCCCAAACAUGUUGUAUUUUUCCUUCUACAACGUGAAAAGUAAAGAACACAAUAGUCAAUGAGGGUAUAAGUCACCAAGGGGGAGUUUUUAGACUGGAUUAUACACUUGACAUGUAGGGAGAAAAUAUCAUGGUGGUAUUUCUAAAUUGAAAAACAUUCAAUAACACAAGUGUGCCGAUGUAAAUUAUGCUAUCCAGAACUGAUAGGUGUGGGAAUAAUGGCAUGCUUAAAUAGACAUACAUGGAAAUUUUAUUCCAUGACCGUAUCCUUUCUCGCAUAAAGAAAAAUUACAGUAUUCUAAAAAAACUGCAAGUAUGUACAUCCAAAGUAACAUGAGUGAGUUUCACCAUUCAAGGUCAGCUUACUUGUGAUAAGAAUUCAUAUAAUGUGAUAUCAAUAUGUGAGAAAUGAAGAAGAUGCAAUACAUGAACUUCCAUUCUUCAACUGCUAAUCCCUCUCCCUAAUUUCCCGGAUAUAUAACCCAAGACAACAACAACAAUCAUGACCACAUAGAUAAAAAACCAACUAUAGAGAAAUCAUGCUACAGGUACAGAAAACAUCUCAAUUGUUGCUUACUAGUCUUCCUAAAAUGGCUCGGGGAAUCAAUUAUGUACCUACCACCAUUCCAUGAAUGUACUACACCAUGACUGUUGAUGCACCAUUAAUUAAAAUAGAUUGAUAGAAUGGCUCGGGGAAUCAAUUAUGUACCUACCACCAUUCCAUGAAUGUACUACCACUAGUCUUCCUAAAACAUCUCAAUAGUUUGGCAAUGCCAUUCAUUCUUAACUACACCGGAUAUGUUGGCGAAUUGAUCUAAGCUACAGAUUUUAGCUUUAAAGCACACAACAAGACAAAGCAACUGAAUAGAAAAUAGAUUGAUAGAAUGUACAAUUCAAAAAAAUUAUAACCUCAACAAGAAAACAGAUUAUAUGAAGGCCAAAAAACAAACCUUUUAGGAUCAUCCUUGAGUGCAGGAAAUAUGGGAGGCCAAAUCAUCAUAAGAGGAUGGAUUUCACAGAAAAAUUUAUCACCGUCUUCCUUCUCAUACACCUUAUGCAUUGUUUUGCGCUUGAUGUCCAAGAGGAAUGUGCAUCGACCCAUGUCCAAGAACACAAACUCGGCAUUGUCUCCUGCCUGGUUUAUCAGCAGAGAAGCAUUGCCAUCUACCAUACUCAAAUCAGCACACAUCUCACGCAAAUAAAUGGUGUCCAUCAGCAACCAUGUGUACCCAUUGUGGAGCCAGAUGCGAAGUUGAAAUUUCUUGACAUGGAUAAGAUAUACACCAGCAACAUCAUCGGCCUGUGACAAUAUGGUGUUUCUCUCACCAUACUCCAUCCCUUCUGGGAGCUCAAUUAUGGAGAAACUUGAGGCCGCCAAAUCCAAGACAAUAAUGUUGCUCCAGCCAGCUGGCACAUAGAUUUUAUUGUUGGACAACACAGAUUUAAGUACUGACCAUGGACGAGGGGGCUGCUGUAUGAUCAAGCUAUGAUUCAUGCGCCAUAUGCCAUGUUUCAAGAUAUAUAUGUAUACCUAUGUUUUCCAUCCGUUGUUUGGUGCAUCAACACAUACAAGUAAGACAAAUCAUCGCCCUCUUCUUUGGACAUGAUUCUAGAGUAAGCAGUACCAUCAAAUAAGUACGGAGAUUGGGGGCGUGGGAACGGUGGGAGGAUGUCCAUGCCUCUCUCAGGACGCACCACGUUGUGCACUGCAAACGUGGUUCCAAUUAUAUCAUGCUGCCUAAUGAGGACGUUGCCAUUCCGGCAACCAAGGAUGUAGGUUGGUACCGAUGGUACUCUCUUAUAGGUGCCCAAUCUAGAGGUUGCGCGACGGAUGACAGCAGUGAGUUCACGGGGCUGAGGCAAUAUUGGGAUGAAGUGCGGGGUGUUCUGACCUUUGUUGGAGUAGAAGCCAAGAAGGCGGGGCGGGUGGAUCUCACAAAAUCGAUGGAGAAAGGCGCAAUCGGAGGCAUGGGCGAGCCAACGUGUGCAUACGAGGGCGGAGUUGAGAAGGGUGGUGGUGAAUACGGUGCGGAGGAGGAUCUCACUGAGGAGGUCGUCGUCCUCGAGCAGCUUGGAUAUCGCCACCAUUGAUGUUGGGGAACGCUGGUCAAACCGGGGUUAGGGGAAAAGAAUUGUAGGUCGAUGCCGGGGACGGGGGAGGCGAAAUUGCCGACGAAACUGUGACACUCAUCCUUUAAUUACUUACGUUUCAGGCAAGUGAAGAAACGGCUUUUGGCACCUACCCCAAAAAUAAAUGACCACCCAGCCUGGCCAAUUAAGCCAAAAAUGGUAACUGUCGCAGUGUGCAGCAACUGUGGCCACCUGCUUUUAUCUUCCUUUUUAUUGCGGUGGCGUGCGUUGCUUGCCUUUGUGAUCCCCACAUCGGUCCACUACGGUCACCAUUCAGGUCCUGACCCAUUCCAAGCUGCUCAUGACAUGACCGUGCUCCCCUUCAAACUAAAAGAGCACACUUUGUUAUGAUAUUUUUAUGUGUUAGCGGUGGGCAUGUACAAUUUGCAAAGUAGAACAAAUGACCAUGGACGUAUUAAAUUACUUAUGUGUUUUAUUUUAUAAUGCAAAAGUUUAUUGUUUCUUACUGGAAAGUUUAUAUUUUCUGAGUAGGAAGUGCGGUCACCGAAAAGAUAUUUGUAUUUGAGUAAAAAAUGUGUGGGUUUGGUAGAAAGUUUAUAGUCCCGAUUAGAAAGUCUAUAUUAAUUGCUGAAUAGAAUAUACUAUGUAAGCCCGUUUGUUUCCGAGUAGAAAGUUUAUCAUUCAAGUAGAAAAUUUGUAAUUAAAAAAUUUGUAAUUUCUAUAUUGCCUGGUAAAAAGGUAUCAGCUUAGUCAAAACUUUAAUGGUUUUGUAUAUAAAGUUUUUCUAAUACGUUUUGAAAGUUUGUGUUUAUAAGUAGAAAUUCUAUAUUGCAUGGCAGGAAGGUAUUAUCUACUUCAAAUGCUCAUGGUCUUUUAGUUAAAUAAAAGUUUUUCCAACAUAAACAUAAAGUUUGUGCUUCUGAAGUAGAAAGUCCAACCAAUAGAGCUCAACAUUAUGUGUAAACUUUCAUCCAACAAACACCAAUAGAGCUCAACACUGAAUAGCAGUUCGGAAGCUUGCAUUUAGAAAAUUUUGUCUUGUACAAACUCUAGAUUAGAGCAGUGGAGAACUACCCAGUCUAAAUAAAUAGAAUCAACAAUGCUUUCAUGUUCAGUGAUAACACAAGAUCAAAAUUGCAUUCAGAAAUUUUGUCUCCACAUGACACUCUUCCACAACAAAACAGCAAAAUUCAGGUGGAAGGAGGCACGGUAGAAUCAAGCUUCAAAGGAGCAACGGCCCAUUCCCCCACCGGUGUCGCUGGUGCGCGUGUCAUCGCCCACAGAGUUCUGCUGCCCCACCGCAUAGUCGGCGUCGUCGGGGAGGCUGCCUUGGCUGACAUCCUUGCCUACCCCAUGAGCAGCGCGCGUAGUCACCCACGCAGUCCUGCACGGUGGACGCCAACCUCGGCGCCGUAGAUGGUCCCUUGUUCUUCUUGCUCCAAUACUCUGUAAUUUCUUUAUAUUGGAUCUCUGGUGAACUUAAAUUUUCCUUUAGGCUGCAACAUUCAUUCAGCUAAGGAACUGAAUAUGAACAACUAACCAAAAGCUAGCCCAAUUGUCUGCACUAGAAUUUGGACGACAUCAAAUACAGACCAAUAUCUUAGAAGGGUGAGCAACGCCAAGGUCGGGCGGGCCAUCGCACUGGGUUGGCAUGGGCAGCCCCAAGGCCGUCGGCUCGUCGUCGCGUCAGAGCAGCCCCGAGGGCGCCAGGUGAUCGUUGCCUGAGGCAGUGCUAAGGCAGCCGGCUCGCCGUUGCGCGCCGAGGCAGCAGGAUCACCGUUGCGUGGUGCAGCACCCGCCAUUGCGUGGGGGCUCGCCUGGUCGCCCUCACAUAGGUCAGAUGAGGCGGCGGCGAGAUUUGGGUUAGAACUUGGAAGGAUAGGAGUGGGGUAGAAUAACUUGACAGGGAGUUACCAAUAUACUGAGAGAGGGGGCUAUGUGAAAAAUGGAGUUAAGUGGAUGGUUAGUACUCCCGCCAUUGAUAUCUGCCGCUCGCUAUUGAUCCAAGGUCCCACGAUGGAAGUUUCUAGAUUUGCACUGAAUUCCAGUUUUCACUUGAUACUUCGCCCAGUUUUAAUGUCUCUAAAUUUAAAAGAGUGCGAGUGAUCUUACAUGCCCAUGGAGGGGCUGAUAUAGCCUAGGGGUUCUUUGACAUAAUUUUUGAUUGAAGAAAAAAGAUUUUUGAUAGAUGACCAAGGCUACCAUUGAAGUAAGGAGUUGGGAGGGUAGAACUAGGUAAUUGUUCGUAUGUUGGCCCAUGUGCUCAUAAUUGGGCUAGGAGGUGGUUUAUCCCAUUUGGAGAGAGAUCCCCUCCACCAUACAUGGGCCUUCUUUAAUUCUUGGACUUGGGCUUCUUUGAUCCAGUGUUUCAUCUUUGUCUUAUUCUCUUAUAUGCGGUCUCCUUUCUUUGAUUUGUUUAUCACUAGUAAGUGUGCAUGUGCAACACAUGUUAUAAUCUUUGCAAGAAAAUUUCUCAUUACCAUCUUAAUAUAUAUGAUUUCCGAUCUUCCUUAUAUACUUCCAAUUUUAAACAAAUGAUGGGCAGGAAUUAUGUUUAAAAAAUAAUUUGUAACACAGGAGAAUACAAUGUGAUAAUCACGCUUCAGUCGUAAGGGGUGAAGAAUGAUUACCAGUAUAUCUACAUCUCAGGACUGAUAAGAAACAACGAAAAUGUAGUCAAGAUGGCCAACAAGCUAACCUUAUUUUCCAUUGAAUCUUUGAUAUAAUCACAUCAAUGCAAACCAAUGACUUUGAGUUUUUCAAAUGGAUGCUUCUCCCUUAGUUCUUUAUGUUAAUUCAAUACUUGAAUUGUUGCCUUUGCUACCUGCACACAAGAGCUGUUUACAUACUGAAGACUGGGGGGAGUAACAUCCUUCUCAAUGUGUUUUUUCCAUACUUCAUACUUGUCAUAACUUUGAUAUAUAAUAAUUGACAGCUUUGCGAAUCUGAGUUUGAUAUUGAAACAAACUUAAAAUUAGCAAGACACACUGGUGUUCAUUUGAAAAGGUUCAUACUUCUUUCCUGGAAAACUUAUUUUCAGAAUAUCAUUUGAUGUCCAUCUCAUUUUUGAGAUGGCAGAUAGGCCCCAUUGCUACAUAGUAGUUUAAAAAGGUUCAAGGGCAAUUAUGCAAGGGAGGGUGGAUUAAACAGAACACCUCCAUUUGUUAUGCUUCCUUUGUCUUCCAAGCUACAUUUACAUACAUAGUACCGAUACGGCUUCUGUCAACCGAAAACAACAUAAUGUUCAGCUGUGUUGCAGAGCAGACCUACACAAACAUCCUGAUGGCUGGAAGAAAAAUUUAAACUGGCCUCCAUGGUUGAUAUGUAUUCUAUUCUCUCUGCAACCAGAAAAUCAUCUGAUCAUGUCAGACACAUUAGAGUAUUGUAAAAAAAGUGCAUGAAAGGACUCAUCAUAUAUGCUUGAACUAAAAGAAAGAAAGUGCAUAAACACAUUGACAGAAAAAUACUAAUCCACCGAACAAGGGACAAGGGAGGAAUGAGGUUGACAGAGGAUCGCUCACCAUUUGUUUCCUGGUAGAUCCAUGCACACAUAAGAAAAAAAAAAGAAUGAAUUUCACAGAAAAAAAGAAAUAAAACAAGUAAGAGAAUCUAGAAUAGUUGGAACACCACUAAACACCAAAUUAUCAAAGAAAAAAAUGAUAUUGUGAUCUAUACCUCAAACGCCUUGAACUUAUGAGUCAUGACACACACUGCCUGUUCCCUGUUUGGUCUUCUGCUUCAAUAAGAUUGGUGACUAAUCCUAUUGGGUCUUCCACAGUACCAACAGUUCCUAAUACGUCUGUCUGCUCUCUCGAUACUCUCUAGCUGCAAAGCCUCGUGCGUAUGAGGUAUGAGAUGAUCAACACUUGCUAAUAUGAUGGCAGUGAAUUAGAUGAUUUUUUUCGCGAAUACGCAAAGCUUGCGUAUCAUUCAUAGACAUACAAGAGGAAAAGAGAGAACACCACACAAGGUGUGGGAAAGACACAAGAAGGGAUAUAACACAGCAUAGACUCUCCUAGCUCGAAGUCUAGCCUGCGGCAAAGAGACGAGAUACGCCAGGAGGAGCAGCCCGGACCAGCAAAGCAUCCGAAGUCUUCAAAUCCAACACCGAGCACACCACGAGCAACAAGACACUGCCUUCAUGAAGGAUACAACGCCGAGCCGCCGUCGCUGUCCGAUCUAGCCGACUAGAUCUAGGGUUUCCCCCGAUACUCGCGUAGGGGCGCAGAGAAGAGGCCAUGGUGGCACCUCCAAGAAGGAAACGGCACCCGCAAGUGUCGUUGCCACCAGCAUCGGCAAGCCGAGCAAGGCUUUCGCCCGGCCAAAUUCCGCACAAUCACAAAGGUUGGUGGAUCAAGAUUCAGAGACAAGGAAACCAAAGCAGGCCGAGACCACAACCACCAGAAGGAGAGCCGCGCCAAUCACCGGGAAGAUGACAUUGGGCACUGCUGGACACACCACCACACACAACCAUCACGGGGCUCGAUCCACCGCUCAUGGCACACCACAACCAGCACAAGUGACAUGCAUGGCUGGGAGCCUAGGACGAGGCUCCGCUGUCGGGAAGACGCCAGGUAGCCCAAGGCCAGGGGGAAUCAGCCCCACCCCGGGCAACCACGGAGGAGGCACGGCCAAUACAAGGUCCUGCGGCCAGGAGGACGCCAGACAACCAAGGAUAGGGGGGUCGGGUGGUAGGGAGAGGUGCUGCAUAGGGGAGGGCAGGGGAGGGGGGACGCGCCGCGCCAGGGCAUCACUGGUGACGACGGCUGGGAGGGACUGCGGCGGCGGCGCCAGAUCUGACGUUGGAGGGGCAGCGCCGGGGCGGCCAACCAGGAGGCGCGGGGAGGAGGGAUUAUUGGAUCCACCACCAGGAGGAGCGUCGCCGGCCACCAGGCCGCCGAGAAGGGCGCCGACGAGCCACCCGCAGGCGGGCCGCCAGCCGCGGGGCCCUGCGGGAGGAGAGGAGAGCCGCGCCACAGGGGGGAAGGCCCCGCCGCCGCCGCUACGACGCGGGCUUCGCCCGGUGGUGGCCUCCAGCGGCAGGGAGGGGAUUAGCUGGAGAUGGGGAGCCGACGUCGGCGCCAUUGGGGGCUGCCGCCCGUGUCGCCUACCCUAGGCGACGCGGGGGCCGAGCGGGAGGGUCUCUUUGCACGUUCGAAAAUCUAAUCAAGCCACUGUACGCAUGUGGUCGCACUAGUAGAAAACGGAGCUUUAAAACCGGUUCGUAAGGGCCUUUAGUGCCGGUUCCAUAACCGGCACUAAUUGGUGGGCACUAAAGCCCCCCCCCUUUAGUACCGGUUCGGCACGAACCGGCGCUAAAGUGCCACCACGUGGCGUGAGCUCGCGCCCUGGUAUUACCAACCGGUACUAAAAGUUUUUUUUGAAUUUUUUUUUUGAAAAUUUUGGAUUUUUUUUCGAUUUUUUUUUCAAUUUUUAUUUUUUCUGAAUUAUUUGGUGAUCUAGUCUCUAAUCACCUCUCUUAACUGCUCAAGUGUGGAUCACUCAUUCCAAAUCAUAUAACUUCCCGACCGGUCACCCAUCCCUCUCACUACUCCAGCCCGAGCACGCUUAACUUUCGGGUUCUAUUCUCCUUUGUUUCCAAGUCUGCACUUGUUGUUUUCCUGACAAUAGUAAGAUGCCAAUCCUAUUAACCCUCAGGAGUUUAGCUUGAGCAUGAAGUCACACAUUUCACUGUUUGAGUUUGAAACUAUUAUUCUAAAAAACAGUAAUUAUUUAGUAACACUAAUAUUUUUGAGUAAGUUUGACCAUAGUUUGACCACAGUUUGACCAUAGUUUGACCAGAUUUGACCAAAAUUCAAAAAAUUAAAAUAAUUAUUUAGUAACACUAAUAUUCUUGAAUAAUUAUGUGUAACAUUAAUACUUCUUGAAUAAGUAGUUUGAUCAGAUUUAACAAUUUUUUUUAAAAAAACUUAAAUUUGACCAUAUCUUUUUUUCUUUUUGGAAUUUGAGGAUUCUAAAGUAUUGCAAACAGGCCAUAGGCGGUCUCCAUCGGAUGCGAAUUUUCAUGCUGAAUUUUUUGAUAUAUUACACGUUUUUUUCCGACAUCGUAUGCAAAAGUUAUAGCCGUUUUACAUUUUCCCUACAUUUUUUGCAAAACAUGUCCAAAUUUAAGUUUUCAAAUUUUCCUAACUAGUAGAUGUAGUAAUAUAACUACCUCUCGAAGGAUUUUAUUUUUUGAAGUNNNNNNNNNNNNNNNNNNNNNNNNNNNNNNNNNNNNNNNNNNNNNNNNNNNNNNNNNNNNNNNNNNNNNNNNNNNNNNNNNNNNNNNNNNNNNNNNNNNNNNNNNNNNNNNNNNNNNNNNNNNNNNNNNNNNNNNNNNNNNNNNNNNNNNNNNNNNNNNNNNNNNNNNNNNNNNNNNNNNNNNNNNNNNNNNNNNNNNNNNNNNNNNNNNNNNNNNNNNNNNNNNNNNNNNNNNNNNNNNNNNNNNNNNNNNNNNNNNNNNNNNNNNNNNNNNNNNNNNNNNNNNNNNNNNNNNNNNNNNNNNNNNNNNNNNNNNNNNNNNNNNNNNNNNNNNNNNNNNNNNNNNNNNNNNNNNNNNNNNNNNNNNNNNNNNNNNNNNNNNNNNNNNNNNNNNNNNNNNNNNNNGUGGCACAAACCGGUACUAAAGGUUAGCCCUUUAGUACCGGUUUGUGGCACGAACCGGUACUAAAGGUGAUCAUGGGGCCCCAGCCUGACGCUAGCCUGCCAUCACCCCUUUAGUACAGGUUUGUGACACGAACCGGUACUAAAGGUUCAACACGAACCGGCAUUAAUGCAUAGUCGUUCGAACCGGCACUGAUGGUACCAGUAGUGUCGGCUCAAAUUCAAACCGGCACUAAUGUGCUUCACGUUUGACCCAUUUUUCUACUAGUGUCGUGGGACGGCAACCUUGGUCUUCGAUGAUGUCUCCGAUGAGAGGGCGAGCGGAGUCUGCUCAUUGGCCUCCGUGAGGACGCCGUUGUGGUGUUGUAGACCUCUCAGUCAGCAGUUGGAAGCCGUCUCAGAGCGAGGUGAUGUCCCGCAGAUCAAAGCAGUUACUAUUGGAAAUAUGAGCAAAUUACUACGAGAUUUAAUCCGAAUAAACAGAAGAUAAAUCAUGACCACAGCACAGAGAUUAAACUAAUCAUGCGAACUAGCAUAGCACAUGAACAUAUCACAUCUAGGGCACAUACUAGAAGCAUGAAUUCUACCACGAUCUCGAACAGGAAGGAUAGAAUCACAUACGGUGCAGCGGGUGCAGCACCGCCGGCGUUGACGUUGUCACCCAUGUCGUCGAGGACGAGGUUGCCGAGGUCAGGGAAGAAGUCAUCGUUUGCGAAGUCGUUCCGAGGCCUGCUGUCCCUUCUCGCGUACAGGAUCACGAGAGGCGGGGUUCCGGAGGCCUGCUGUCCCUUCUCGCGAUGCACGCCGGAAGGAGGGAUGGAGAAGACUUGCUUGGCGGUGCAAUGAUCUGGAAUGGUGGUGAAAAACCAUACGAAGCGGCGGCGGCUAGGGUAGACGUCUACCUGACUAUAUAGUGCGGGCCGGGUAGGUCGUGGGAGUAAACCCCACGUCCGAGUCGUCAUGAUCCAAAAGAAUCGGAAACGGUUCAGUAAUUAACGCGUCCGUUAAUUAUUAAUUAAUGACUCAUUAAUUUUCCCAUGCAGCAAAAAUAUAGACAACAUGCAUAGCUCUGUCCUCGGCUCGGCUCAAUCCCGCAACCCGCGGUGCAUUGUGACGAGGCGUGGCGUGGCGAGGCAAGCGAGGAGGAGGAGCGCGCGUGUAGGUCUCCUCUUCUCAUGCUCAUACAAGUGGUAGAAGAGCUCACCUUAUAAAGAGGUGCAACUCUCUCUCAACUUCCGGGGUGUGUCUAAACAUUAGCCUCACUCACUCCACUCACAUGUGUGCAUGAAUGGGCCAAGAGAAUUUCAGAAUUUUAGUUGGGCUCUGGGCCAAAGGCCUACUAGCAAAAUUUCAACAAUCCCCCACAAAGUCUCAUUGGCACAUCUCAUCAUUUAGUUCCAAAACAUUGUUUUAUAUAUCGGUGCUUAGUGGAGACUGUGAAGUUAAACUUCCACUUAGAAAUUUAUGCUACACUAGAUCACAACUUGAAUAGUGGACUAUGCCUUGAACUACAAGUUUUCUGUGAAACUAGUUUCACACAAAUUCUUGACCGAUACUGGGCCGCCGCAAGGCUUCCCCGCGGGUGGAGCGUAUACGUCAUACUCCAGGGCCUUUCAUGAAUUUAUUAGAGAACACCCAAUUCUCACAGACUGCGACGUUAACAGUCAAAUUCAUAUAGGUGUGUUCCUCAGAAGAUGUUCUGCAGGACAACAUCUCUGCUUACCCGAAUAAGCCACUUGGAACACAUUAAGUAUCAACCUGCCAUGCAGACCAGGAGAGUAUUGCAUCUUCACGGAGUGGAAUAAUUAAUAUAGGGAUACUCUCCUCCCAGCUGACCAACAGCUUGUCUCCUACUUCUACUUCACGGGAUCUCCGAUCACAUAGAGUGGGUUACCACUAUGGACAACUCAUGCGGUGGGUCUCAAACCCAUCUCCAUCGAUGCAUUUUCUAUCACAUUACGUGAUAGACCCUUUGUGAAGGGAUCUGCCAAGUUUUUCGACGUUUGGAUAUAAUCCAACGUAAUAACUCCGGAGUUCCUCAAUUUUCUGACAGAUUUUAGUCUCCUCUUCACAUGCCUUGAGGACUUCAUAUUGUCCUUAGAACUGUUUGUCUUGACGAUCACAGUUUCAUUAUCACAGUUCAUCAGGGUAGGGGGUAUUGGUUUUUCAACCAUAGGUAAGUCCAUUAAGAGUUCACGAAGCCACUCUGCUUCAACAGUGGCAGUGUCUAAUGCUGUGAGUUCUGCUUCCAUAGUUGACCUCGUUAAGAUGGUCUACUUGCAAGACUUCCAGGAAACAGCGCCACCACCAAGUGUAAAAACAUAACCACUUGUGGUCUUAAUCUCAUCAGCAUCAGAUAUCCAGUUUGAGCCACUAUAACCCUCCAGUACCCUUGGAUACCCGGUGUAGUGAAUCCCAUAGCUCGUGGUGCCUUUCAAAUAGCGCAUAACUCUCUCAAGUGCAUUCCAAUGAUCAUCUCCCGGUUUUGACACAAACCGACUCAGCUUGCUCACAGCAAAAGAGAUGUUAGGCCUCGUGGCACUCGCCAAAUACAUAAGCGAGCCAAUAAUCUGAGAAUACCUCAGUUGAUCUCUAGCAAUCCGUCGAUUCUUUCGAAGCAACACACUAGCAUCAUAUGGAGUUGGAGAAGGCGUGCAGUCGCUAUACCCAAAACGACUCAAGACCUUUUCCACAUAAUGAGACUGAAGCAGUGUGAUCCCACCAUCCUCAUCUCUCAACAGCUUGAUGUUUAAGAUAACAUCAGCUACUCCUAGAUCCUUCAUCUCAAAACAGCGAGAUAAGAAAUCCGUAACCUCCUUGAUUAAAUCAAGUUUGGUUCCAAAGAUCAAUAUGUCGUCAACAUACAGACAAAGAAUAACUCCUUCGCCCCCACCAUAGCGGUAGUACACGCACUUGUCACCAUCGUUUACUACAAAGCCGGCAGCAGUUAAUGUUCUUUCGAACUUCUGGUGCCACUCCUUAGGAGCUUGUUUAAGGCCAUAUAAAAACUUUAAUAACUUGCACACCUUUCCUUCCUGACCUGGUACUACAAAACCAUCUGGUUGAUCCAUGUAAAUUUCCUCCUUCAACUCUCCAUUGAGGAAAGCCGUCUUAACGUCCAUUUGAUGAACGAGAAGACCAUGUGAGGCAGCCAGUGAUAGUAGCACCCGAAUUGUGGUCAGUCUAGCCACGGGUGAGUAAGUAUCAAAGAAGUCUUCACCUUCUUUCUGGGUAUAACCCUUGGCCACAAGCCGUGCCUUGUACUUUUCAAUCGUACCAUCAGGUCUAAGCUUCUUCUUAAACACCCACUUACAUCCUACAUGUUUGCACCCAUAAGGACGGUCAGUGAUCUCCCAGGUACCGUUAGCUAAGAUGGAAUCCAUCUCGCUACGUACAGCUUUCUUCUAGUAGUCAGCAUCAGGAGAUGCAUAGGCUUCUGAAAUAGUUCUGGGUGUGUCAUCCACGAGGUACACAAUGAAAUCAUCACCAAAAGACUUUGCAGUCCUCUGUCUCUUACUCCUCACAGGAGUUCCAUUGUUACCCUCAACCGGAUUCUCAAUGUGUUCCAUCGCAAUGGUGGGUUCAGGAAUUACAACGAAUUCCUCACUAGAUGGAGUAGGUAUCUCCUGAUUUGAUGAACUCGACAUAUCCUUCAUAGGAAAUAUGUCCUCAAAGAAAGUUGCAUCAUUUGAUUCCAUAAUCGUACCAACAUGCAUGUCGGAUACCUCAGAUUUUAUUAUCAAAAAUCUAUAGCCGAUGCUAUGAAAAGCAUAGCCCAGAAGAACAUAAUCCACGGUUUUUGGUGCAAGCUUGCGCUUCUUGGGAAUUGGUAUAUUGACUUUCGCCAAACAACCCCAAGUACGUAGGUAAGAGAGUUUUAACCUUUUCCUUUCCCAUUCCUCAAAUGGAGUCAUGGUCUUAUGCUUUGUGGGAACUCGGUUUAGAACAUGACACGCAGUCAUUAGCGCCUCCCCCCACCAUUCCUUGGAUAGACCCGAAGUGUCUAACAUGGUGUUAACCAUAUCAGUUAGAGUUCGGUUCUUUCUUUCAGCUACCCCAUUUGACUAGGGUGAGAAGGGAGGCGUCCUCUCAUGGAUUAUACCAUGUUCCGCACAAAACAGAUCAAAUUCAUUGGAAAAAUACUCUCCACCACGAUCGGACCUAAGCCGUUUAAUUUUUUGAACAAGUUGGUUCUCUGCCUCAGCUUUAUAAUUUUUAAAGAAAGUCAAAGCCUCAUCUUUUGAUUUCAGAAGAUACACAUAACAAUAUCUAGUGGAGUCAUCAAUCAACGUCAUGAAGUAUCUCUUUCCACCUUUUGUCAACACGCCAUUCAUCUCACAAAGAUCAGAAUGUAUAAGCUCUAGUGGCGCCAAGUCUCUUGCCUCUGCAGUCUUAUGGGACUUGCGAGGUUGCUUAGCUUGCACACAUACUUGCCACUUGGAGCCUUUGACAGUAGAGAUUUUCAGAAUUAAAUUCAUAUUGGCUAACCGCGUCAUGCAACCAAAGUUAAUAUGACAGAGUCAUGAAUGCCAAAUAUCAGACUCAUUAUUGUGGCAAACAUUAUUAAUAACUUUAGUGCAAAUAUCUGACAAAGAUAGGCGAAACAAGCCUCCGCACUCAUAGCCUUUUCUAACAAAUUGUCCAACUUAGAAAUUACAACUUUAUUGGAUUCGAAAACCAACUUAAAACCAUCUCGACAUAAACGGGAACCGCUAACGAGAUUUUUAUUGAUGGACGGCACAUGAUGAACGUUCUUCAGACGCACAGUCUUCCCCGAAGUAAACUUCAGAUCAACCGUACCAACACCUCGAACGAUGGCAUGUGACCCGUUUCCCAUCAGCACGGGUGAAGUCCCUGUUGCCCUGAUUCCUUCAUAUCAGUAUCACCGAUGACAACAUUAGCAGACUUGCCGCUCUUCUCAUGUUCGCGCUCCUCAAAGCAGUUAGGACACUUCGGAGCCCAGUGAUUAGGAUCACCGCAGACAUGGCAAAGUCCCUUCCCCUUCUUAUGAGAAUUCUUCUUGAAGUUGGUAGAAUAUGAUGGCUUGUUCUUUGUAUCAAACUUGCCUUUACCCUGAGUUUUGUUCUUAUUGUUUUUGAACUUGUUGGGCUGGGAGUUCUUCUUCUGUACCAUGUGGGCACUAGAACCUCCCUCAGCAACUCGAGCACGUGUGUCCUUUGCUCUCGCCUUCUCUUCAACAUCAAGAGUACCAAUGAGAUCCGCAAUAGAAAACUCCUGUCUCUUGUGUUUCAGGGAAGUAGCAAAAUUGUUCCACGAAGGUGGAAGCUUGGCAAUGAUGCCUCCGGCAACAAAUUUGUCCAGCAACACACACUUGAAGUACUCCAAUUCUUUUGCGAGCGACUGUAUCUCAUGAGCCUGCUGUACAACAGGGCGCUCAUCAGUCAUCUUGUAGUCAUAGAAUUGCUCCAUGACGUACAACUCGCUGCCGGCGUCCGAGGCACCAAACUUGGCCUCCAGCGCAACCCACAUGUCCUUGCCGUUGUCAAACGACAUAUACGAAUCCAUAAUGGAGUCAUCAAGAACACUCAGAAGAGCGCCUUUAAAGAGGGUAUCGAUCUUCUCAAAAGCUUCUAGCUGUGCUGGAUUAAGAUCGCCCUCAGGCUUGCCCUUGGUGGCACAUAGCAGCCCAUGGUCUGAAACUAGUAGACUGCUCUCAUGCGCCACCUUUUAUAUUGCGCCCCCUUAAAGGCAGGCGGCUUCAGAUGCGCAGCAAAACCACUCGGAAUAAAUUGCGUAUAAUCAGGUUUUUGGAUUGUUGGAAAUAUGAGGAAAUUACUAUGAGAUUUAAUUCGAAUAAACAGAAGAUAAAUCAUGACCACAGCAGCAGAGAUUAAACUAAGCAUGCGAACUAGCAUAGCAGAUGGACAUAUCACAUCUAGGGCAUAUACUAGAAGCAUGAAUUCUACCACGAUCUCGAACAGGAAGGAUAUAAUCACAUAUGGUGCAGCGGGUGCAGCACCGCCGGCGUUGACGUUGUCGCCCAUGUCGUCGAGGACGAGGUUGCCGAGGUCGGGGAAGAAUUCGUCGUUCGCGAAGUCGUCGCUGUCAGCAGUCGCGCGAGUGCACUCCCCAAAAACCUGAUCGCCCCUCUCCCGUACAGGAUCACGAGAGGCGGGGUUCUGGAGGCCUGCUGUCCCUUCUCGCGGUGCACGCCGGAAGGAGGGAUGGAGAAGACUUGCUUGGCGGCGCAAUGAUCUGGAACGGUGGUGAGAAACCAUACGAAGCGGCGGCGGCUAGGGUAGACGUCUGCCUGACUAUAUAGUGCGGGCCGGGUAGGUCGUGGGAGUAAACCCCACGUCCGAGUCGUCACGAUCCAAAAGAAUCGGAAACGGUUCAGUAAUUAACGCGUUCGUUAAUUAUUAAUUAAUGACUCAUUAAUUUUCCCAUGCAGCAAAAAUAUAGACAACGUGCAUAGCUCUGUCCUCGGCUCGGCUCAAUUCCGCAACCCACGGCGCGUCGUGACGAGGCGAGGCGUGGCGUGGCGAGGAGGAGGAGCGCGCGUGUAGGUCUCCUCUUCUCAUGCUCAUACAAGUGGUAGAAGAGUCACCUUAUAAAGAGGUGCAACUCUCUCUCAACUUCCGGGGUGGGACUAAACUUUAGCCUCACUCACUCCACUCACAUGUGUGCAUGAAUGGGCCAAGAGAAUUUCAGAAUUUUAGUUGGGCUUUGGGCCAAAGGCCUACUAGCAAAAUUCCAACAGUUACCGCCCCCGUAGGCUCGCGUCGGCGUUGUGCGCCGCCUCUCGUCAGAUACUGUCGCCACCGGAGGUUCACCAUCGAGGCCGCCGGCUGCGCCCCUGCCCUUCCUCAUCUCCCUUCCUUAUGUUCUUCUCUAGCUCCUCACCUUCGAAGCUCUCUCUCCCUAGAACCGCAGUUAGCCAGGGAGGAGGUCAGCUGCCACCAGCGUCCCUCCGACUCGCCGGAGCCGCCCGUCGUCGACCCAUCCGGCUACCAUCCUCCUGAUCCAUGCCAGCCCCGCUGGAACUGCCCGUUGUUGACCAUCCGGCUGUCAUCCGCCAGAUCCACGCCAGCCCCGCCGGACUCCAUGCUCAUCACCGUUCCCUGCAUCGAGCUGCCGCCGCCGCUCGGCGUUGAUCGCAUCGCUCGCUUGGUAGUAUCUGUUUGCGAUCGGGUUGUGUUUUUUUCCUUGGAUUAAGGAAGCGAUGUAUUGGGGUGGACGCGGGGCGCGGAACGAUUUGGUUCGGCAGAGUUUUGGGCCACCAGGGUAAUUUGCUAAACGCACUUUUGGAUGAGGGUUAGUAUAAUCUUGACGAUUAGAUCAAGUUAAGUGGUCCUAAUUGUAAGGUUGUAAUUGAUCUAUGUUGUUACAUGUACGUUAGGCUGGGUGCACUUAGUGAUUAAUAUGUUUGAUUGUUUAAUAGUAAUAGAGAUGAGGGUUUAAUUGGACUUUUGUUGACCGAAGUGGUUUGCUUGAACGCAUAGAAGCUUGCUUGGACUAUUUUGACCAUCUUGACUUAUGUUGACUAUCCUUCACUUCCCUUUACUAGCCUUGACUUCAGUUGAAUGGCCAGUUUCGGUGAUUGCCUAGGUGGCAUUCCACAUUUCAUGUAGGAUAGCGGAUGGGACUUUACUGCUCAUAGUGAGAGUAAUAUAAGUAGUAACAUGCAUGCCACAUAGGCAAAAAAUAUGACAUGGCAAGUAAUUAAUAAGGAGAAAUGCAAAUGGACUAACAUAAUAUGUUAUCAUCACAUAGCGAUUCUCAAUGUAAAAUGGGUCUACAAAGUAAUAAAUGAAGCUCUGAAUGUUAUCACAUCUAUGACACUAUUAGGAUUAAUUUAAUUCUGUAAUUAAGGAUCGUCCUCCCUUGUACAACCGUUCGUGUGGAUUGCUGCCAACCGAUGCGGCGGUUCUCCCACGCCCCCAUGACGGACGCGUCCUUUCAAUCGCGUCUGUUCUGCUUGUAUAUAAACUGUGAUCCUUAAUGGAAUAGUAACAGUUCGAUCAAUUCGUUCUUUCACAUGUUAUCAGCACUUCGACUCUGUCCGAGAGCACGAAUAGGCAAAUCACGCCGGCGACAGUCGCCGGAGAAAGAAAACUGAAGGGAAGAAAGGAGAAGAUGAGAGGAUGCCUCGUGGUAUCUUGUCCUUCCUGCACCUUGUUCGUAAUGGCGGUGGUCCUCGGACUGGCGAAUGGUCGCGCCCAGGACACACCUUCCGGGUGGAUCUUCUUCAGAGGAGGAUGAUGCUGCGCCGGGGCCGUCGACCUCGCGCCGGUGAGGUAGUCGCUGGUGGCGAAGGUUGGUGGUGGUGGUGCCUCUAGCCGGCGCUGUAGUUUGGAUUGGGGAUGAUUUAGUCAAUCGGAACGAGAUGCCAGUUGCCUCCCUUAUCCAUCCAACACUGCGUACAAGCUGUGGUAUAGCCAUCCCACUAGGCCUAGUUGGCUAGUUGGAAGCGUUUUUCUCUCGUAAGGCGACUCUGAAGGCGAUCUAGGGUUUUGACCGCCGUCGCCGCCGAGGCGGCGGCGGCUGCCUAUCCUGUGUCUGCCUGACGGGGAUCAUGGGUCUCUCUUGGGAAGCUAGCUUGAUGCCAUGACGAGAGGAGGAGAAGAGAUGAGUUAGGUGGGCUGUUGUUGUCCAUGGUCUGGUUUCUCUCGGCUCUUUUGAAGGAUUAGGCGAUUAGUAAAUUUUGACGUCCCAGCACGCUCUAGCACAGCUGGUUUUUCUGUCCCGGCAUAGCCCCGUUGCUUUGCAAGGUGGUGUGAUCUGUUUUCUGUCCCUCUGUAUUUGUCUGUAUACAGUAGGUUUUCUAGAUGCAGCUUGUCCGCGCAGUCGACGGAAGCGAUGUUCAAGGAGGAUCGACGCACGCAAUGAAGCUAAUAAGUUGGAACUGUCGGGGCUCGAGGAGGCCUCGACAGUCCGGUCGCUUCUGGAUAUCCAGAGGCGGCAUAUGCCAAAUGCGUUUUUUCUGUCUGAGACGCACCUAGAUGAAUCAAGGGCAGAAACACUGAUGAGGAAACUAGGCAUGGAUGAGAGGAUUGUUGCACCAAGUCGUGAUGGAAGGAAGGGUGAGCUGUUGUUAGUCUAGAAGGAGGUUAAUUAGGAUCUACUCCCGAACUACCACCAUUGAUGGUAUUGAUGUUGAAGUUCAUGAAAGCAAUGGUGAUGUUUGGAGGCUAACUGGCAUCUAUGGUGAGCCAAGUUGGGAGAAUAAGGAGCGUACAUAUCGUCAUAUAUGAGAGUUACAUGCCCAAUCCAGGUUACCCUGGAUUAUAAUUGGAGACUUUAAGGAAAUUUUAUGCUUUGGGGGACUUAGGGUAUGUUGGUGAUAAGUUCACUUGGUUCCGCGCGGUGGACUGAAAGAGAGGCUAGACCGUGCAGUUACAAAUGCUGAUUGGAUGGCUAUGCACUCUCACGCUACCUUGUGUAAUCUAGAGAUGGGGAAAUCUGACCAUCGGCCUAUUCUUCUAGAUACUGAGGACUUAGCGGGUGUGGAAGAGAGAAAGCCCAAGUAUGAUCGCAGAUUUGAGGCAAGCUGGCUUGAAGAAGAGCGUGGAAGAGAUAGUCAAGACAGCUUGGCAAAAAGUUGUACACAGAGGCUAGCUUAUGCCCGACUGUCAAAGAUAAAAUGGAUUCUGUACAUCGUGAUCUUCAUAAUUGGGAUUGCCGGGUUCUGAAAGGGACUCGUUUCCGGGUAAGGAAGGCCCAGCAGGAGCUGGAGGUUCUUAUGCGAGCUCCCUACACAGAUGAUGUCCGAGCAAAAUAGAACGAUCUCGCUGUGCUGAUUGAGAACUUGCUCGACCAAGAAGAAAUUGUUUGGGCNNNNNNNNNNNNNNNNNNNNNNNNNNNNNNNNNNNNNNNNNNNNNNNNNNNNNNNNNNNNNNNNNNNNNNNNNNNNNNNNNNNNNNNNNNNNNNNNNNNNNNNNNNNNNNNNNNNNNNNNNNNNNNNNNNNNNNNNNNNNNNNNNNNNNNNNNNNNNNNNNNNNNNNNNNNNNNNNNNNNNNNNNNNNNNNNNNNNNNNNNNNNNNNNNNNNNNNNNNNNNNNNNNNNNNNNNNNNNNNNNNNNNNNAAACUUGAUUAAGAAAUUGAGAAACGAUAAUAAUGGAUGGGUCGAAGGAAAUGAUAACCUCAACCCCAUAAUUUGUGAGUACUUUGACAAUCUUUUUAAAUCAGAUGUUGCUGACUAUGACCAGGAUCUUGUGCAUACAGUGAAGCCGCGUGUUACGGCAGAGAUGAAUAGGUUUCUUGUGGCGCCAUACACUCGAGAGGAUGUUCGGAAGGCCCUUGUAACACCCGCACCUAGUCCAGAUUGGGCCAUAGGCUGUUGGGCCGUGGGUCAUAUGGACUUUGGGCCAGUAGGCCUAACCUGCAGCUACAAAAGAUAGAGGUCGACAACGAGAAAGGGGAUCGAACAGAAUAGAAUUGGCUUGGCCUUCUUCCUCCUCCAGCUCCUCCCUUCCCUCGUACCAGAUGAGUGUAUCCCCUCUCCCUGAUUCUCUCUUGCUGCCUACCUUAAUUCUAUGCUCUUCCCAUCCUUGAUUCUCUUCUCUGGAUUGUAGUUCCGUUGUGAACCUUUGGUUUGGUGAUUUAAUUCAUACACGAGGAACACUUGUAUCCAUGGAUUUGGUGUUGUUCGAUAUCGAUUUAUCACCUCCUGAUCUAGGGGCGUGACAGCCCUCUUCCAAAUCGGUGAUUUGAAGGCGCCGGGGCCUGACGGCCUACAUGUAGUGUUCUUCAAGAGGUUUUGGCACAUUCUUGACGAUGAGUUAACAGAUGAAGUUUUGGAUGCAAUAAACAACCGGAAAAUACCUGAUGGAUGGAACCAAACUAAUAUUGUGCUUAUCCCUAGGCUUGGGAACGGUGUGACGACGGACAUGCCUCGCUCGGGGAACGGCUGUGCACUCCGGCCUUGUGUCGGCGCCAGAUGACGACAGCGAUCCAUGACCCCAGUCCGCAUCAUGCCCUUAAACGUGUCCAGGUUGCACGCUGCUGCGCGGUGGAUGACGGCCGCGAUCUGGGGUCGGCGGCAGCUGAACCAACGGGACGGAGCGCGGGAGCUCUGAGCCCCAUCCACUAUUGACGUAGAAGCCAAGGAGACGGGGCGGGUGGAAGCUCACGGAAAGAGAUGAGGAAGGCUGGUUUGGAGCCACGCGUGCAGAUGAGGGCGGCACGGACAAGGAAGCGGUGGGAAAGCCAACACGGAGGAGUAUCUCGAUGAGGAGAUCGUCGCCGACUCGCCGUCGAUGAGGAGUGGCGGCUGCUGCGUCUCGCCUUCCAUAUUGGCAAAGCUGAUCGAGACAUGGAGGCAGGUUUUUGUUUUUGUUUUUGAAGGGUGGACUCGAAGCACAAACUGGAUGCCUCGUAUACAUGGGCCCGCCUUGGUAAUUACGGCCCGUUCAGGUUAAUCUAUCCAUAAAUGGGCUGUCUAAAAAAACACUUUUUUUUUGCGGGGACCUAAAAAAAACACUUUGCCAAGGCAGCUUAACAUCACAUGGAUCAUUUUAAAUUCAAGAAACCCAUUUUAAAUUAGGAAAUUAAUAUUUUUAAGACACAAUUACCAUUUAAUACACUAUGAGCUUUUUAAAAUACAUGGUGAAUAUAUUUGUAAAUACACAAUGUAACUAUUUGAAAAUAACGAUGAACAUAUUCUUAAUACAUGAUAAAUAUUUCUCUAGUACAAGGUGACUUUUUUUUUUGAGGGAAACAGCAGGACUCUGCUGCGUAUUCUUUAUUGAAAAAUGAAUGAUACAAAAGAAGGUCCUCGAGAAACAAACAAGAACGGAAAAAGAGCUAAAAGAAGACAAUGCACCGGCUGGGAGUCGAACGCAAGACCUCCUGCUUGCAGCGUUUGAACCAGUUGACUAAACAAUACAUGAUGAACAUCGUAUGAAUACAUGUUGAACAUUUUUUAAUACACAACAUAUAUUUUCUAAAAUCAGAUGAACAUUUUUAUCAUAUAUGAUGUACCUUUUUAUACAUAAAGUAUUUUUUAAAAACAUGAAACAUUUCAAAAUUGCAUGAUGAAUAUUUUAAAUACAUGAUGAACAUUUCUUAAGUACUUGAUGAACUAGUUGAGUAAACAAUACUGCAAGGGGAGAGAUGACACCGAGAGGCUGCCGCAUAGGAGUGGGGGCAAUGGAUAUUGGAGGGGUUUCUUUGGGGUGACCCUGUCGCAUAGCCGAGACGGCCGGUUUGACGAUGGCCGAUGCAGAACAUCCUCUUGUGCAUGGGAGGCACUUGGGUAGGAGGCGGUGGUGCGGUACAGACCCAAGAGAACAAGAUGAGGAUGAAGCGGCGGCACGACACCCCCCAAAUCGACUCCUGUUGAAAAUCCUCAAGUCAGAAUGAGAGGACACAGCAGAAAGCUCUUUUUACCGGUGUAGGGAGCUACCGGCGAAUCAUCCACCGUUCACAUGCGCAGUGAUUCGUGCUAUAGGGAGCCCAUAGACAAUGUAUAGAUGUGUAUAAUAACAACCCAUCUCUUGUAUCUUAAUUAAUAGUCAAAUCAAUUCCAGAUGAAAGGGGCCCAUGUCAACAAUAAAGUUGUACUUGACGCAUGCAUGGUCCAUUCUCUCUCCUCAUUCUCACGUACAGAAGAUGCAUCACAUGCCAGACUAAUUCAUGCCCUUUAUUUUCUCUUUGGCAAUUUCAUUCAUUCAUAUAUUUUAAACCGCAACUUUAUUUUUGAAACUUUUUAUAUAUUUGAACUCCUGAUGCCAAGACCUUCAGAACAAGAUUAAUCUUGAAAACAUUCAAACAUCUUGUAAUUUCAACGUUUCAAAUGAGUGAAACAUGUUUUGUGGAAUACACGUAAUAAGUAUUUGAGCAAAACCAAAAUUUUCAAAUGAGUACAUUCUGUUUUCGUGCAUAUGAAACAAAUUUCAUUGUGAAAUAUGUUUAACUUGUAAUUUAGAAAAAUGUGAAACUAGUUAUUUUAAAACAUGCGAGACAUAUUAUUUCAAUCUUUUUAAUAAAUGAGAGAAAUCUAUUUUAUGAAGCGAGUGAAAUUAUUUUUUAUUUCAUUUAAAUGUCACUUAUUUCAAGUUAAAAUUUAUAUUUCAAAGGUUUGAAACUAACUUUUGAGUUGAUUGAAAUACAUUUGAAUAUAUUUCAUUGUUUUCGCAAGACAAAUAUUUAAAUUUAUCCGCGUUGGCAUUUUAGGUGCGGGCGUGCCAGUAUACAAGUGUAUACAAAUAAAAAAUAAAAUAAACACACAAAAUGAUGCGGAGAAAACUUGUAAAUCUUUAUUGCUGAAGAUAUACAAAUCUCAUUUUACAUGCUCUUGGUACAGCAUCUGACAUACAAAAGACAAUUGCAUAAUUCUCGACUCCUAGGGCCUCGAAGGGAUCCCUAGUUAAUUACAUUCAUAGCAUAUCUAUGAAAGACCUCCGAUUAAACUGCCUCAAACGGUCAUCAUCAUUAUCAACCUCAUGGCUUCUGUCUCCAAGGCAAAAAGAACAUGCAAGUGCUCCAAGACAAAUAAUAAACUCGCCAUGCCAAAACUUAUGGAUUCAUGCAUCAACCAAACAUGGGAUGUAGAUCAAGUCUCACGGAUAAAAUUAAAUGGAUAGUUCGGCCUCGUCGGUCACGAACAUCAUGUAUCCCGCCUCGUCGGUCAGGAAGUGUAUGUGAGUUCCGGCCUCGUCGGUCACGGAAGAAAGUGUACUGAGCGUGGACUUGAAGAUGAACCCUCGUUUGUUUGAGAAACAUGAUUCUGCAAAAUUUCGUCAAUGGCGUCUUGUUUAUUCCGGUGUAGAUGGCCACAUCUUUAUUAAUAUUGGAUUAUCUCAUGAUGAGAAAUCAUCCUUUGUAUGUCACGUGAUCUCCUUGACUCUGUGCUCUAAAUGUACAUAUACUGAACCAUGCAUGAUGUUGGCUUUUGUGCAGCUAUAUUUCUUUCCCUUGUAACUCCACACCUAUAUACAGUUUUGUCUGUCAACAUGAAUCCAUAGCCUUCACUGAUGGAUAAACCCAAAAUGCAUGAAAAUCACUUGGCCAUGAAAUGUCUGCGGCGACGAUUGAAACGUCAGGUAGAGCUGCGAGACGUUAUAACAUUCCUUUUUCUUUUUCCAUAUCAAACCGUAACACAUCCGUGGCGACGAUUUGAUCGCCAUGUAGAGCCACAGGAUGCAAUGCCGCUUUUUUCCUCAUGUCAGACCGUGAAACACCUAUGGCGGCGAUUAGAUCGCCAUGUAGAGCCACUAGAUGCCACCAAACUCUUUUGUAGAUCGGGCCAUGGAACGUCCGCGGCGACGAUUAGAUCGCCAUGUAGAGCCGCGGGACACCUUUGAAUUUUUUUAUAGAUCAAACAAUGGAACGUCCGCGGCGACGAUUAGAUCGCCAUGUAGAGCCGCGAGACGCCAUAAAAUUCUUUUUCUAGAUCGAGCAAUGAAACAUCCACGGCGACGAUUAGAUCGCCAUGUAGAGCCGCAAGACGCCGCAAAAGAAUGAACAAUGAGAACAAAAGAAAUAAAGGAAAUAAGUGAUCAUAUGCAACCUUCAUAUGAUUUACUCACCAUAUGGCUGUGCCAUCGACGCCGGUCACGGAGGGGAACGCCAGACAAAGAAAUGGAGAUGUGUGUAUAUGGANNNNNNNNNNNNNNNNNNNNNNNNNNNNNNNNNNNNNNNNNNNNNNNNNNNNNNNNNNNNNNNNNNNNNNNNNNNNNNNNNNNNNNNNNNNNNNNNNNNNNNNNNNNNNNNNNNNNNNNNNNNNNNNNNNNNNNNNNNNNNNNNNNNNNNNNNNNNNNNNNNNNNNNNNNNNNNNNNNNNNNNNNNNNNNNNNNNNNNNNNNNNNNNNNNNNNNNNNNNNNNNNNNNNNNNNNNNNNNNNNNNNNNNNNNNNNNNNNNNNNNNNNNNNNNNNNNNNNNNNNNNNNNUUUAUAGCAUCGUCUCCACCGGCUAGCUAUGCGAAUAGAUAGGAAGAUAAGCACGAGAGAUUAGCGUCGUCGCCGCUGCCAUUAGUAACAAUUAAACAAAUCUUAUCUCUAAUCUCUCGGCGUUGUUGAACUAAAAAGCAACAAACUCCUUGGCCAAUACUUAUCUCUUGGUGGAUUUAUUCAAGCCCAACGGAUCGAUUUUCUCUAUCACUAGCGACCACGGACGUUUUGUACCAACAUCAACACGUCCAACUAGCAGCAGGCCUGUAUAAGAUUUUACUACUUCAACACACCAAACGUUUGCCUGGAUAGUUGUUGACCGGUUGAACCGUGCAUGCACACACGAUUUAUUCCAUUAGCAAACUGGUUGAUCGGCCACUACUAAAUCCUUUUGAUCAACCAAAUGCAUGCGUUAACGUGACUAGGCCUGAAAAUUCAUAACCAUAAUAUGUUUUCCCCUUUGAAGAUCACCAACUAUUUAUUUAUGAGAGAAAUUUGAUUUUUUUUAUCAUCAAUUAUAUACUCAUUGACAUGAUCUGACGAGGGUCUGCUCAUACCAGAUAAUCAAAUAUAUAUGUGCAUCACAUGGCAAAAAUGGAGUCAAACAUUCAUAAAUACAAAGUGGAAUUAGUUUUUGAGAUAUAUUUUGUAACGAGUGAAAUCAGAUUUACGAAAUGAGUUAUUUCAAUUAACUGAAAUAGGUCUUUUGAAUUCAAUGAAACCAAUUUUAUGAAAUAGAUUGUUCCAAUGUGUGAAAUUGAUUAUGUUCGUGAAGCUGCUUACUCCUGAUUGUGAAACUGAUAUUUAGGGAAUAUAAUUGCAAGUGAAAUAUCAAACUAUAAAAUUUAAAUAUGCAUGCAUUAUUUUAAAGCGGUGAAAUCUGUAAUAUAAAAUGAGUGAAUCAGUUUUCGAAAUGAAUGGAAUCAUGUUUCUGAAACGGAUGAAAUAUGUUUUUUUAAUGUGUGAAAUCUGUCUUUUCAAAUGAGUGAAUUCAUAUUUUUUAAAUAAGUGAAUUUUUAUUUUGAAUCAACUAAAAAAGAUGAGUGAAAUAUGCUUUUCAAUAUGAGUGAAAUAUGUUUUUCAAUUUGAGUGAAAUAUGUUUUUAAAAAUCAGCUAAAUUAAAGCUAAUUCGAAUGUAUCCAUAAUUGAUCUUGUUCUGAAGCUCUUCUUGCUAGGAAUUCAAAUAUAUAUAAAAAUUCAAAAUAGGAGUUCUCAUUAAAAAGAUAUCCAUGAUCCAAAAUUUCACAAUGAAAUUAAAUGGAAGUAUUUUGAUGGAGAGAGAGGGAAUAUUUAACUUGCAUGCAACUGGUCUUGUCGUACAUUUUUUCUCUCUCCUGACAAAAGCUGACAAGUGCAUGCAAAUGUUCACAUGUAUUCCUGUGUAUUCUACCCAUGUCUUUUAUACAAUAAAAAGGGGCACGAAUCUCCAAAACAGCAGCAAUGGUGGAUGUUGCUCCGGUAGGUACCGGCUCCGGUAAAAAAAACUUAGUCGGAGGACACAGGGCGAGCUGCAUUUGAACAACUUGAGAAAUCGGUUACGUUUCCCCCUCGCCGGGACCGGACCCUUACAGUCGAGGCCCACUACGGGAAAAAAUGCUGAACUUCUCCCAGGUUUCCAUUUCCUGGGAGCUUAGAAACUGUAAUGAUUCUGCUACGAUCAAAUAUAAGAAGCAUAGAUGCUGGUAUGAACUCUCGGUUCAAAAAAAUCAACUCUACCACAGACAUUUUUUCGCGAAUAUGCAAAUAAUUACGUACCAUUCCAUUGAUAGGUAGGAGAGAAUUGCUACAGCAUAGAGGAGAGGGGGGGUCACACCAACAGGCAACACAUCCAAAAACUCACCUAGCCCGAACUCUUUCCAAAGACAACGAAGAGAAGGGACACGGGGCACGCAGACCAACGCACUAAACCUCCGUCUCGCCGCCACCACUCCAUCACAGACCGAAUCAACAUACCCCAACCUUAUGCACCUAGGAGAUGGCAAGCGGGAUGCAGGACCAGUCCGUGCCGGAGGAGGAAAGCCUAUAGAAGGCACAAUUUUGAUUUUAUCGGUUUCAAUGUUCUCAAAUAACUACACCUUGCUAAAAAAAACUGCUCCCAGUAUUAUAUUGGCUUUUUUGUGAGGGUGAUAUUAUAUUGUUAACUGUUAAUGGAAGUUUGACUUAAACGUGUUCUGGUCUAUCUAGGAUUAGAGGUGAGGAUGGUGAUGUGUCAUGCACUCGGAUCAGCAUCCUUCAUCAAUAACUGUCUAGCUGCUUCUGCUUGUCUUCCUUGCAUCUUGGUAUGGGCGAUCCAAAUACUGUCAACUCUGACCAUUUGAUAGACGCCACUCUGAAAAACAAUUUAUGGAAAAAUUACGCUGUAAAUAAUUGUUAAUUCAAUAUACAGGCCACGGCAGAAAUGGCAUCUAUUGAAAUAUUCCACUGUUGGCAAGGCAAUGGUUAAAAGUUUCUUUCUAAGCGAUUUUCUUUAAUAUGUGGCCUCUAUUUUUUUCUUUUGUUUCUCCCUCUCAUCAGUCAUCACUCUGAUGAACAAGGUAUGCAUCAUGAGAACUUCAAUCAAUGGUUAAGUUUCCAGAGGAAUUUUUCAAGCAAUGAUUUGAUCUUGUGGUAUUUUGUGUCGUAGGAUCAAUAUUCUAAAGGAAAAUGGGUAGGAUUAACCGAGACAAAUCCUCGGUUGUCACCCCGCAAUAAUUUGGCCGAUCAAAUAAUGGGCACCAUCAUUAGUUGCAAGAAAAAUUGAUGCAAAAUCGGAAAUGCACAUUCUUGUCGCUGACAAGGAGGAGCUAAAUCAAGCAUGCACGUAAAGCGGCAGAAUUCAGAUGCAAGUGUUGAGCGAUGGUUUAACUGAAUUAGGAUGUACUGAACUACUUAUGCUGCAACCAGUAGCACUAGUCUGUAGCAGAGUGGAGACUAAGCAGGUGCAGCUCACUCAGUACUGGUCAUCCUUGAUAGCACCAGAGUCUACCACUGGCAUACAUAAAUACCAUCCAACAACUCCCUCGUACAUAUAUGCUUGUCUCCAGAUGGCAUUUCUGUUCAAAGUAAAAAAGGGAGGAGAAAAUAACAGAUUAAAUAUCAGCCAGGAACUCAAGAUGGAUGUAAUUAGUUACAAAUAAAUGGAUAGAUAAUUCGACAAGACGAGUAGUUGUAUAACCACAAUCCAAUGUUACGAGGCACUGAAGAAGAAAAAUAAAAACUACAAUUUUUCUAUCAUCAAUAGACUAAAUUAUCAGAUACCCCGAAAGUAUAAAAAAAAUCGUGUACCUCCUUAGAUUGGAUUGUACAUACACAGAUACACUUGAAUUUUUAGUGGACAACUAAUCUUCAUUGUGCUACAUCUGAACUGGGAAACAUGCACCAACCCAAAGUGUUAAUACUACAAGCCCACAACAUACGACUACACAAUCCAAAAGCUGAAUUCUGUGCGUGCAAUAGCAUGAUGCUUCAGUAUACUGAGAUGAAAAAUAGACUACAUACUACAACAACUUUCUAAAAAGGAGUAUUGACGAUUUUAUAAAGUGUAGCUUGAGUCGAGGUUCACAGUUCUAAGGUAGCUUACUCGUAAUGAAGGUUUUCUUUUUGAGGAAUGAGAGUUCAAUAAUAAAAUAUGGCUACUGAAGAAAUGGAGGUGGAGGACAUAAAAAUUCCAUUCUUCCAAGUCCUGAGUCCUAACCCCUGCAUCUUUAAUCUUUCACAUACACAAAACCAAAUUGUAGCGCUUACAAAUCAUGUUACAGGUACCAAAAACAUCUCAAAUGCCGCAUAACAAGUAUUCCUAUUUCCUACAAAUGGCCUUAACAAAAUCAAUCAUGUACCUACCACCAUUCAGUAGCUACACUAAACAGUGUGGUGGGUUAAUGAACUAUUAACAAAAAAAUGGACUGCAUGAGUUGCAACGCAGAUUGUUUCCACAACUAACUUAUUGUGAUGAUGUAUUGAUCCAAGCUACAUAUUUGAUAUUCUCAGUUUUGAAACAUAUGUCCUCGCAACAAAAAAGUUGAAAGCACGUUGUAAAAGAAGAAACAAAAAAUAGAGUGUGAUUAACACGAUGCACAUUCCAAGUCUUUGUGAAUUCAACCAAGGUGUAGGGGGCAAACCUUGCAGAGCCGUUCUUUAGCGCAGGGAAUACGGGUGGCCAGGGCAUCAUAAAAGGAUGGAUAUAACCCAAACUACUCCGAUCCUCAUUUGCCAACUCAUACACUCUACGUAGUGUCCUGCACUUGACAUCCAAGUAUAGUAUGGACCGACCCAUCUCCAAUAACACAAAUUCCACAUUGUCCCCCACCAUGCUUAUUUGUGGAAGAUAAUUGCAGUCUGACAUACCCAAACUAGCACACAUGUCAUGCAAACAUAUGUUGUUCAAAGGCGACCAGGUGCCCCCCUUGUGGAACCAGAUGCGAAGUUGAAGCCCCUUGAGAUGGAGGAGGUACACACUGGUGGCAUCGUUGGCCCUUGACAACAUGGUGCUUCCCUCGCAAAGCUCCACCCCUUUGGGCAGCCGAAUUGUGGAGAAACUGGAGGCUGUCAAAUCCAACACAGUAAUAUCGGUCUGACCAGCUGCCAUAUAGAUUUUAUCUUCGACAAGCACAACUUGUUGUGAUGGUGGGCGAGGGAUCUGGUCUAUGGCCAAAUUAUGUAUCAACCAGGCAUCGUCUUGCAACAUAUACGGAACAUGCAUAGUAUACUUUCCAUCCAUGGUAGAAUGCAUCAUCAAAUACCAGUAAGACAACAAGAGACCUUCUUCUUCUUCUUCUUCUUUGGAGAGGGUUGCCGAGUAAGUAUAGGAACAGCCAUCCGGCAGUAUGGGGAGUGGGCGCGGUGGGAACAUGGUCAUGCACAUCGUCUCAGGAGGACACAGCAUGUUGUACACUCCCAAUCUAUCAUGUUCGCUGAGAACGAUGCGGCCGUUCCGGCAGCCAAAGAUAUAGUUCGGCACCCAUAGUGCCCUCUGGUAGGCGUCGAAGUUGGAGCUUAUUCGGCGUACGACGGCGGCGAGCUCUUGAGGCUGAGGCAGCAUCGGCACGAAGUGUGUGGUCUGCACUGAACAGUCGUCGCCCAAGAAGUAGAAUCCGAGGAGGCGGGAUGGGUGGCGGUCGCGGCAACGGCGGAGGAACCUGCGAUCGGAUGCGUGGAGGUACCAGCUCCUGCAGACGGCCGCAGCGCGAACGAGGGUGGUAGGGAAGCCAACGCGGACGAGGAUCUCGAUGAGGAGGUCGUCGUCGCCGAGCACCCUCGAUGCGGCGUCCUCCAUGGCCGCCGCCGGCGGCCGCGACUCGCCGUCCAUUGUGGAGCUAGUUGGGGUUUCCGUGCGUCUGAGACUUGGGCGCUGGGGGCACGAAAAGAAAAUAAGGCCGAGCUAAUAAGAAGGGCCCAGUACGUCUCUGUUCAUAAACAUAUACAGUAUUAGGGUUGUCCAAAAAUAAUAAUAAUACAGUAUUAGGUUGCCUAAAAAAAAUACGGUAUUAGGUAUAUGUAUUAGGUUUCACUGAAAAAAGGUAUAUGUAUUAGGUGCCUAAGAAACAGUAUUAGGAAGAUAAUUAAGUCUGACUACUUGGGUUAAUGAAAAAAAUAUGAAAUUUCACACGAAUAUAGUGACAUGGAUGUUCCAUGUUUAAAAACCACAUUUCAAAUAAAAUGGGAGAACCGUAGCUAUCAUCUCAGUUUCAUUAAAACUAUGAAUAUCAUCCCUGUCAAAACAUUAAGUAUCAACUUAUCCCGAUGGUGUUCUAGGAUUAGUUUUUUAUGAGGAGAAGGGGUAGGAUUAUUUUCCCAUUAAUAAUAGUUUGAGUGCUCAUGAAUAUUCAAUUCUGCAUCCGAGCUCAUCUGAUCUCGGUGAAUAGUAAAAAUAUAAUAAAAUUAGUAGAAAAAUUCAAAAUAAUCUGAUUUUUUUUUGGCAUGGAAGAUGUUCGAAUGCGUGAUGUCUAGGCAAAAUUUAAUCGUGUUUGAAAAUGUUCUAGUAUUUUUUUACUGUUCACACAAGGGAGCAGAUGAGCUUAGGAGCCAUUUCGCCCCGUCCAACUGAUAAGACCUUUAGUGCCAUAAUAAAAAUUAAUGUGGAAUCAAAAUGCAUGUUCAGAGAUGGGCGUCUUAACUGAAACUGGCUCUAUUAGGUGUCUUAACCAAUCGUCCAAAUCAAGCAAGGGGAAGAAAAUAUGACUCAGCAUGGUGCUCAAAUAAACUUUGCAACAUGACAAUAAAAGAAAAAUAUGGGAAAUAGUCUCACUAGCCCCACCAACAACACAUUCCUUGGUACCAACUCAUCUUCUAUGCAAAAGAUUUAGGACACUACUUUUAACCACUAACCACAUUAAAAAACUUUCAUGUUUCGAUGCAUUCACUGUUAUCUAGUAACUAGUUGCAUUUAUCGGGAUUAUCAGACAAAAUCACAUUACAACAGACUAACAGAUCCGUUAAAGUUCUCUGCAUUGAAGAAACUGUUCGUGCAAAUUUCCAUUCAGAUUCAGACUCCGGUAACCUUUAGUAAGAAGUUCAUUUACAGUGAUGUCUUGACCAAGAGCAAUACAGUACAACUUAGCAAGUAAUGCUUCCCUUCCAAAAUAAGUGUCUCAACCUUAGUACAACUUUGUACUAGAGUUAGUACAAAGUUGAGACACUUAUUUUGAACGGAGGGAGUAUAAUACUAAAAGCUACAUCCCCACCAAGGUUCUUUCCGCAAACCUAGUCCUUUUAUCACCAUCUGCAAUUCUAGUACAGAAUUUUGCAAACAAAAUUUAAACCUGAAAUGUCCAUUGCAGAAAUGUGGCUGGCCCUGUUUGUCACAACAUUGCCCUGUUCAUCCCUCCCUACCUUAUACAAGUAAAUACCUGAGCAAACUCAUCAUGUUUCACGACUGCGCCUCCCAAAACAGUUUUCGCUCACUUUUAUGAAAAUUUAUAUUCAAAGUAUUCAUAUGCUAACACAGAUACAAUAAAAACUCUCUCACUCCCUCUAGAUCUUCUUCACACAAGAAAAUCAUAUCAUUGGCAUACUUUAACAUAAUUAGUGCCCCAUCAACUACUCCGUUAAUAGGUCCUCAUGCCUGAGCUUUUCCCACUACAACAAUAAAGCCCUGUUCGGAUCCACUCCACUCCACAGCUACAACUCUCGGAGUGGAAGGAGCGGCAGCGCAAUCGCACAGAGCGGCUCAGACCCAGCUCCUCGCACGGAGUGGAGUUUUGAAAUGGGAGAGGUACCGAACAGGCACUAAGUAUCGAUUUCUCACCAUAUUGAUUUGGUAAACUAAAGGUGUACGCUGGGACCUACUGUCUUUUUUCCAGCCCAUCAUCACACUCUCGAUGGAGAAGAUGAUCUUCUAUGUAUGUAUGGUGCUGCUGUGGUAUAAUUAUUCUUCUAUGAGGAAAUGAAUAUGUUCAUUCAUCAGCAGAGAAAAGUAUCGACCAAAUCAGGAGUGUGUGUUCUGCUCCGUGACAACAAGCAACUAAUAAGCAAGCGUGCAAUGCAGCAAAGUUCAGAUAUAAUGUUGCGCGAGUGUUUAACUGAAUCCCGGCGCGAUGGCCUACUGAUGCUGCGGCCAGGAGCAGAGCAGAGUGGAGUGGAAUCUGCCAAGAAGGCCAUGAGCUUCAGAUUAGCCACUGAGAGUAUAUAGCAGUUGCGGCUUGGAUGCUGAGUAGCCCCGUGAAGGAUAGGGAGCAGGUUCCGAUAGAGGUUAAGGGCCUGUUCGGAGCCCCUCUGCUCCGCGAGGCCGCUGACCGAGUUUUAGUUCGAAAGUGCAGAGCCAGCAAAACGGUACUCCCGAGAUUCUCAAUCUCCGCGGAGCGGGCGGACUGCCGAACAGCGCCUAAGAGUGAUGUACAACAAAUUGCAGUAGAUUGGUGGGCUCCAUUGUUGAGCAGGUUUACUCAAUCAGGUUUGCAGCCAUCUAUACAACACCUACCUAAAGUGGCAGCAUGCAGAGUUGAUGUUGUCAUCUUUUCUCUCCCUCUCCAGUCUUCCCCCAUUUCUUCCUUUCCAAAUACAACAGAGUGGAUAGCAAGCAUAAAUCACGGUACAAGACUAGGGCUAUCAGAGGUAAUAACAAGGUGAAGAAAAUCAUGCAAAAGAUAUAUCAUGAUAAUCAAGCAUAAUAAUAAUAGGUCUUAAACUCCCGAAAGGAUCGAAACCAGGUAGGUAGCUCUAGAUAUUAAAAACAGGUGCUCAUGACUUUCCAGGUUGUCACAUGUCAUCCAUCACAACUAAGGAGAAACUUUGGUUUGCAUUUAUUCUCAACUCAUCUACGAUGGAGCUCCAGUUUAUUGGUAGUGGAGAUAGCUAG